This 67811-nucleotide long non-coding RNA is filed under the name Sorghum bicolor (sorghum). RNAcentral's name for it is "long non-coding RNA (SBIC_LNC016955)". The stretch from base 61280 to 61373 matches the Rfam family "MIR5387 microRNA precursor family". Lineage: Eukaryota; Viridiplantae; Streptophyta; Magnoliopsida; Poales; Poaceae. The record is from RNAcentral.
GUCCGUCCAGCCGCGUCGGUGGGCUAUAAAAAGCACAGGCCAGACAGCACAGCUUCUCCUCCUCGCGAUCCGCGAUCCUCGCCCUCUGCAAAGCAUAGACGGCACAGUAGGGCACACCAAAGCAAAAGUAGUAGCCGGCCGGCCAGCCAGCUAGCUCCCCUGCGCCUCCACACUUCUCUGCGCCGCCGGCAGAGACCUCCUGCCGCUAAUACCCACACCCACACGGCCGCCGCCGGCCGGCCGGCUACACGUCCGUCGUCGUGCGCACAGCAGGUGCCCCUUGAUCAUCUUGCUGCUUCUUGCAUGCACUAGGCUAGCUCACCUCAGCCCCGGCGGAGGAGACGAUCGAUCGAUCCCCUCCGAUCCUGCCCCCUGCUGCACCUUGCUAGCGAAUUCCACCCGUGCGCAACGCUCAGUUUUCAUCCCACGUCCAGCUAGGCACAGCUGCCGAUCGAUGGCUCCCGCCGCCGCCCGGGCGGCACCGAAGAAGAAGACGAAGACGUUCGUGCAGAAGCGCGGGCAGGUAUUCAAGAGGGUGCUGGGGAGCCUCUUCUCCUGGCUGCCGCGCUGCAGGCUGCAGCAGCUGUUCCGCAAGAACCGCGCCCCUCGCGGACGCCGCGGCAACCGCGUCCCGGCCAACGGAGGCCACGUCGAGCCGGAGCCCGACGUCGCCAACAACACUAGCUACUCCGCCACACGCGCAACCCUGAACGCACACCCAGCAGUACUAGGUCAGUGAUGUUAAAUUUCUGUACGUGCGUGCGUACGUGCGCUGCUCGGUCGUCGGUCGGUUUUCCCCAGGUUUUCAGUUUUCUCUAGGUCCACACGCGUUCUUCCUAGCUAAUUCAUAUCUUGACGCGCGACCAUUUCUUAAUUUCUCAGGCCGGGUGAAUUCCAUCCUCUAGCUACGGAAAGAAAAGAAUUCUCCGGGUCCUCGUCAAGCAAGUACACGGCCACAACGACGACGACGACGGAGGGAGUCAACGCGUGUCUCAACUUAAUUAUGGAUAUAUCAGAACCGGAGAGCUAGCACAUGAGACGGCGGGGUUGCUGUGCCUGCUGCGAUAUAUAUGCGCAUGCCUCUCCUGUGUACAAGUCAACUUAUUAUUGUUUCGUUUUUUUAUGGGUUAUUUAUUGCUUCAUUAUUAUUGUAUCUUCGUAUCACUGGAUUUGCAUGGUAGAUUUGGAUUACUACUGCGUGUAGGCGGAUCGUGGUCGUCGUCGUCCUUAUUGUACGCGUCCUGUGUGUGUUCUGGUCUCGGCUAAAUUAAAGUGUUCAUUCGUCGUUGAUGGAUGGACGCAGCAUGUUCCUGUGUUCCGUCACGAUCUAGUUGGUAUUUAAGCUGUCAUCAGGUGUUAUAUUCAGUCAGUACGUACGGUAAACUGAUUGAUUGACAAGAAUAAAAGAUGGUCAAAUUAAAUAUGUGUGCUUCACCCAAUUCAAUGUAAGUGUCUCAGCAAACAGACUGAAAUGACUUGAUUCGUUUUUUGUACAGGAAAGAAAAUGACUGCUUGCUUGCUCUCUUGUCCGAUUCAGAACAGAAAAAAAGGGCAGAUGCCUAGGACCCGCAGCUACCGCUUCUGUUUGCUGAGCCCAAACAUUCGGCCCAGAGUGAUGAUGGGUCCCCAGUCCCCCGGCUAACCUUCCACACGGUUCACAAAAAAAAAGAUGUUCAAGGCCCUAUAAUUUAGCCCAACAAGGGUUACUUUUCGUUUUCGGUUUUCUUCCUACUUUUUUUAAAGGGUCCGAUUUUUUGUGAUCCUAAACCUAUGCCAUUGUAAAAAUAAUGUGAUAAGUGAGGGACAAUGAAAUAAUCAAAUUUCACAAACUAAUUUCUCACAAGCAUAUCAUCGAACACCUUGUGUGCGUAGCUAAGACAACCCCUUAAAAUAAAUCUGUCAAACCACGAGGUGUCCAAACCUUCCAACAACAAUAUACUUUCAUCAAUUAGCUCACUAAUACAUCAGCCCCAUCAUCUUCAACCCAACAUAUCAAAUAACACACAAACCCCUUUCAUGCCAACUCAUCCAUACAGGCAACCAGUUCACACAUGAACCAAUAGAAAAGCAAGAUGGUGACUUAUAAUUAACACAAAUGGCAAGAGAAAAUACAAAAUCAAGAAGGAAAACUGAGAUUUAUGUGGAAACCCCUUGCGGGAAAAACCCAUGGGUGACAACGAGACUGUUGCACUAUGAGAUGAUGAAGCAAUGCACGAGAUGGGGAGCCAACAAAUGAGUGGACGUUGCAAAUCCCCCACAAAUAUCUCUUUUAGUGGUGGAUUUGGUGGGGUCAAAGACCUCUCUCUCUCUCUCUCUCUCAAUCUUCAUAACCAUAGCUCUCUCUACUUCUCUGUUUUUCUCAUCAAGAACAUAAUAGAGCACACACUCUAGGUGAGGGAGGCUCGGCAGCCCCCCUUUUGAGUUGUUUUGGUCUCUUUUCUAAAGAGUCCUUGAGGUUGUGAGAGACUCCAAAAGAGCCCAUCUCAAUAGGGGGCUGCGAUCACAAAAAAGCAAUCACAAAUAAUAAUAACUCUCACCCUGUUUCUGUUCUCACCUUUGUUAUUAGUUUACUUUUACCGCUUCUGUCUAAUAUAAACAUCUUGAAAACAUGCACUUUCCUUUUCAAUUUUCUUUGCUUGUCAUUAGCCUUGUGUAAAUUUGGAGUUGUGACAAACUAUUCUUCCUAAUCACAAUGAUCAGGGGCUUUGGAACUGUUGCAUGGGUAGAUGUUAAAGAGUACAAAACCACCCGACCUGACAAGAAUACAAGAUAGCAGUUGAUGUUGUUGAAUUGCAAAGUUUAAAGGCAAUAACCAUAUAUCAGAUCUAGAUGCUUUGUUUAUGGAAUGAUGACUGCAGUUGGCGGUGGGGUAAGUGAAGUACAUGAGACUAGAGAAGAGUCAGGAGUAGUAGUUUGGAAUUUCUCUCUGCUCAUCACGGCGUGAUUUUUGAACAAAGUAAAGACUAUAAAUAACUGCAAACUAGGUCUAUAUAUAUAUUUUUUAAAGGAACUAGAGUAUACAAUUAGAGUGUUCUCUACCAAAGAUAUUGCCUACGUUGUUAUGGACAUAAUUUUUGUAUGAAAUGGUGUAAUUAGGAAGACUUGGUAAACAUAUUAUAAUGGAUAUAAUAUUUCCACUUUAAUUUGUCAUGCGCAAGAGUUACUUCAGUUUGAUUUAAUUUGUUUGUUGUGGAAAGCCGCCGAAUAAGUCUUUUUAAUUCUUUUGUUUAAUACAAAAUUUAUAUACAGUAGCAACGUGUGUGUCAAUAUCUUAUCUUUGUUUAAAUGAAUAUAUAUGCGUAUCAUAUAUAUGCAUGUGGUGUAACAAGUUGAAUUGAGUUUUUUAUACUGAUUUGUGAUGCAAUGGACGAUACGUGAUCCUGUAGCAACAUAUGGGCGCUCACCAAAUUCCUGCAAAAACAAGUUAAGAGAGUGUUUCAAAAAUAAAAUGUCGUGUCAUGGUGCUACUAUACGGAAAUAAACAAUUUUAAUGAUUUUUUUAUUAUAAUCUCAAGAACACUAGGCAGUUUGUCCAUGAUAGUGAGGCGCAUAUGAUUAAGGUACAGUACUAUCCAAGCUGGAUGAUGCGUGUCCCUCUAUUAUUCCUUUUCGGGUCGAAACAAUCUAAGAUACAAUGAUAUGCAACAAAAAAAAACUACCUAAGACCUCAAUACUAACAACUUUUAAUGUAGGGAUUUUUUUUUGCUAAUCUUAAGGUUUGCUGACUCAAUCUCUUGACAGCGGUGCUUAGGGAAAAACCAUGAUGGACGGGCUGAAUAAAACUUAUCUGUCGAACAUCGUCCUUUCACAAUACCUUUUGACAUCUGUAUUAUCAUAGUCUCUAGCAACAAAGGUGUGAUCGUCCCGUUUCUCAUGUUGAACACACCACUGUCACACGCAAAGGAUCUGGAGGACAAUCUCCCCAACCAUAGUCACACAUAAAGAUAUGCAAUCUGCCUGAGGUCCACACUCAGAAGCUUGGAAAGCCUUAGAAUAUGGGCCAACAAAGAGUGCGCUUCACUUUCUAGAGAGUUGAACCGCCUCCAUUGAACAGAAGAAGAGGUGGGAAAAUUGACGUCAAAUACUUCAAAUGAAAAGGUGCGGUGGUUCUUCUGAUCUAGCAACACGGACAAGGAUCCAACUAGUCGCGUUACAUAUAAUAACUUACCACCACUGGAUUCUACAGGAUACCUGAAAUACACACAGUAUGUUUCAAGCUAGCAAUGGUUUGGCAAAUGACGUCGUUUGCGAUGCAUUUCAUGGAUGAGAUUUUUGGCUUGCACAUGCCGCUUGACUCCACCUCAAGCACGAAGAGCUUCCUGGCUGAGAGAGCAUAUAGCUUCCCAUCAACGAGUGCAACAUCACAUAUUUUCUCAUAGUCCGGCACACGGAAUGCAGAGGCCCAAGACGGUGUCUACAUCAGGUAGCUGCAUGACAUCCUUGGAGAAAGGGUUCAUCAGUGACAGCAGCGAGCCCCCGUCGCCGGUGCGCUGCUUGAGAAAGAGCCAGUUGCCCAUGAAGCCAAGGCACUGAGAAUUGUCGAGCGGUGAAUUUUACCGUCCCGGAUGUUGAGGAAGGUGCCGUCGUUAAGGAUGAGCCACGGGAACGGAGCUAGGCGGCACGGGCUCUAGCCGUGCACUGUGGCGCCAUGGGCGGCAGACCGCUGCCAGUCGGACGCGAUCUGCUAGGGAGGGUAGCCGCGCCAGGACAAGGCCCGGAACCUCCGGCCACAAGUCUGCCCAAGACGGGCAGUGUCUGCAGGCCGCCGCCAUCACGCGAGAGAUCGAGAUCUGGCCGAUGGAAUUUUGGGCGGACCUGUACUCGAACUCCAACCAUGCGAGGAGGAGGUCGUCGCGGUGGUCGACGAGGUGAGGUGGUGUGGUGUUGGCCGGACCGGAGUGCUGCACUUCGUUCUGGGCAUGAGUACAUGACGAGGCUCGAGGCCGAAACUGCCGGGCCCGUCACACGCGUGAGGUUUGAUGGCUCCUGCGACUUGCAUGUUGUGUGCUCUUGGAGCUGGAGCGGAAGGGCAGUUUGUUUACUAGCUCCUGUAUUUAUAUUAUCAGCGAUGCUGUGUUAAAUGUUGAGGCAAGAAUACAAUUACUUGUGAAUCUGCGUAAGAUAUUGGCUAGGCCACAAAUUUUCCAUUUCGCAGAAAUAUAUUUGUCAGGAUCUUAGGACAUCUGACAUAAAAAGGCCAGGUUAUGCUUACUCCUUCUAAGACAGCCCAUUGAGAAAAGGGCCCAGUUUUACAUGACCAUGGGCCGGGCCAUGAUUUCAUUCCAUUUACAGGUAAAACGACUUAACUGGCGAUUCCUUAAUUUGUUCAAAAAAAAAUGGUCAUUCCUUAAAAGAAAAAAGUUUGUUCUACCUCUUCUCAUCAAAUUUUAAAAUCAGACGUUUUAUUUCUUGCACUUUCAAAAUCACUAAAGUUAUCUCUCUGCCCCGGUUUGUCACGACUUUGAAGAUGGUUUAUUCUUUUUAGUUAAAAAAAUAAUAAAUAGUUGAUAAGGUUUUUAAACCACUAAAAAUGUCUCUAAACUUUAAAAGACAAUAAAAAACUCUGAAGAUAGAUUGAGAAAUGACAAAUCUAAAUAAAAUAUUUAGAGCUCAUAAAAAUAUCUCUAGAAGCUUAAAAAUAUAUUAUAAAGAUAUUUAAAUGCUUUUAUUUGGCAUAUUCCAAUCUGUCUCUAGAUUUUUUUUAGGAUUUUAAAUGUGUAGAGACAUUUUCUAUGGUUUUAAAACCUUUUAAGUAUUUAUCAGUUUUUUUAAAACUAAAAAAAGACAAAACCAUCUUCAAAAACCACUCCAAACGAUUAUGGAGGUAAUUUGAACGGUUUCAAGAGUUCAAUGGAAAAAAAAUAUGGUUUUUAGUUUAAUGAGAAAAAUCAGAGUACGACGAUGGUUUCGAAAGGUAUAAUAGACAUUUCCAUGCACUUGCUACUAGUCGCAUACCUACGUGACCAUCAAAGUUUUUCCUCUCUUUUUUUUUUCUUUUUUCAAUUUGUAUUUCUCUUUUUCUUUUUUUUUUCUCUCUUUUACGUAUCCAUCCUACACCUUUGCUCCAACAUGCUAUAUCUAAUUUUUUAUCUCCACAGUUUUCAAAAUAAAAUCAAUUACUAACCUUAUUUGAAAAUGUGUCUUCAAUCUCUUAAUUUGGUAGCGUAAGUUGUGUUAUAAUCUUUUUAGACAUAACUUUUUCUUGUCCUUUCGUUUACUCCAGAGUUUGUUACCGGACAGCAAGAGUUACAAGCCAAUCGAGAAUUCAAGCUGAAGACAACAUUUGCACACGUUACAGCUUCGCCAACAAGCAAGUAAUUAGCUAGGAGUACAAGAGAUCUCUCCUCCCACUCUAACAACAACAACAACAAACCGUGAUCCAUCAACACACAGGUACUGCUUAUAAAUUCUAGAAUCAAACUAGCAGGAUGUAAAAGACAAAAACCAAUCGUCAAUUUUGCUAUAAAUGUGUUGCCCAGCCCUGCCUUCAAUAUUGCAUCUAGCUUCAUUGAUGCUGAGGCUAUGCCUUUAAUAGCAAGGUCAGUGUCACUGCUGCUGGUCAUUAGUCCGCCAGCACUUGAUCCUCAUCAUCAGCACCCAACCAUUGCACGCCAAAAAAUAAGAGGAUCAUCAAUACUGCCCAACUAAGGCCCAUGACGAUAACAACAUUUGAAUCAACGAAUGAAAGUGCACGUCACUGCCGCAGGACAUAUGGAGCAAAGCAAUAUGCUAGCUGUAGAGCAGACCGCCACUGCUACUCAAUAAUUAACAGUAUAUACAUGUCUUAGUUGAUACUAAUUAUAAAGAAAGAACGGCCGCGGGCAGUGCAUGUUUUUGGGAAAAAAAAAUCGAAGGACGGCAGAAAACAACUAAACUCAAAUCAGCCCUCCCCCCCCCCCCCCCCAACCCCAACAGAAAUAUCACUUACAAAGGAUUUAGAAUUCAACCUUUGUAUUGACUAGCAGUAGCCUAGUUAUUACGAUACUCUCGCAGUCUCUAAAAAACUAUCAUUUUUUUGUUUCUCUACCGUAAGUUUAAUCAGAUUUGUAAUAAUAAGUGCGUACUCCCUCCAUACCUUAAUUACUUGUCGUUUUGGCCUCUUAGCCCGUUCUCGCAAAAGAUGACGCUGUGCACAGUUUAGACGCGCAUGCCCCUGUCCGUCACCUUCUGACUUCACAACCAUAAAAAAAGCGUGCUUGCAGGGAGUCGAACCGUCGACCUCCAGUCUUACUCCCUCCUAGAAUUCGUGUCAGUCAAACUUUUCUAACUUUGACCAACUUUAUAGAAAAAAGUAUCAACAUCUAUGACAUAAAAUAAGUAUCUUACGAAAAUAUAUUCUAUAAUAAAUUUAAUGGUAUUAAUUUGGUACUAUAAAUCUUAGUAUUUUUUUCUAUAAAUUUGGUCAAAGUUGUAAAAGUUUGACUUAGGACAACUCUAGAAAUUGCAGCUUUCAGGGACGGAGGGAGUAGACCACAGAGAACUAACCAGUCAAGUUAUGCAACAUUGUUGUAAAAGUGACACAUGCGGUGUUAUUUAAUAAUGGCAAAGUAGGAAAAAUACACUCUAAUUAAUCACUCCUUGGUAAGCACAAUCAUGUCCUAAACGUCAACUAAUUCAGGUAUGGAGGGAGUAUCUCCAAAUAAAUUUAUUACAAAAAUACAUUCAACAAUCUAUGUAAUGAUAUUAAUUUUUAGCGAUAAAUAUUAAUAUUAUUUCUAUAUAUCUUUAGUCAAAGAUGUUUGUUGAGAAGAAAAAACAACAGUUACUAGUAUUUAUGAAAGGACGGAGUAUAUAAGUAGUAUUUAUAAAAAUCCAUACAGCUAGAUUGAUAAUAGAAAAAAUCAUAGAAUACGCCAUAUAUGGACACUGAUGGAGUACUAUCAACGUAUUGAUGGUAAAAAGAGCAGUAUCGCAAUCAUUAUCGGAUCUCCAAAGACACGCACAUAUUUGCAUUCAUGCACGGCGGGACGGCUGCAUGCAUGCAUGCCUGCAUAUCAUUGAACCAAAUCAUAUACGCCUACUACGUUUCUUUCUCCUUUAAUUUAUUGUGCUUGCUCUCGAUCGACUGGAUUUUAAUAAUUUCCUUAUGCUCUACGGCAUGUCUGCGUUAGUGAGCAGUACACCGAUGGCUUGCUCUCGCCGCCGUACCGGCCGCUAUAUAUCUAGUCAAGAGAUGCCCGGCCGGCCACGCAUUAACGCCGAGAGUCAUCCGGCGAUGAUCCCCUCUCGAUCGCUGAUUCGCACAAACACGCAUGGCCGUGCUACUCUACUACUACUGCGGAAGAUGAUGGAACUGAAACCAGAAAAAUCCCAAUAUGCAUGGCAGCAUGGGUUCAAAAUUAAGUAACAUAACAUCUCUUCUCUACUAACAAUAAUCACACAUGGCGUCGCAUUGGCUCCACAAUGAUUUGCAGGGCCGUGCUGUUAGUACCGCCAUUAACCCCAUCAUUAAUUCUCACUCCCGCCGCUUGGCCACUCGCAAAGGAACAGCGGGAUCGAAAACCCACGCACAUGUCUUUCCUCGCCUCCCGUUUCGAUCGUCACUGAAACCCACACUGCAGCAGGGAAUCUGCUUUGAAUUAACAGCUAGCUAGUAGUCCGAUCCAUGGACGAGCGAGGACAUAAAUGCCUAGGCCUCUCUCCUCCGGCCAUUUACUGGGAUCAAAUGCACAUUUAUUUGCGCGCGCGAGCGAGAGAGAAGCAGGGAGUUACUUCGAGCUCGCGAUAUCAUCAUAUCGCGCAACAACCCUCGUCUAAUGAUCGCUGUCUCUCGUCGUGUGCCCUGGCCGGCGGAAGCCCGGAACCGGAACAGGCGUACUGUCUUGGCAUCAUCAUCCGUCCAAAUGAACUUGAUGAUGAUUAGUACGUGCUCCCCAGUACGUCCACGAUGUCGACCGCGUCCAAAUGAGCUUGUUUUAGUUGUUUCUCAUCGAUCGGAUUCGUCAGAUGGGUUUAUUUCGUUUUGGAUUGUAUAAGUCAACUUGUUCUAGGCGGUAAGAUACUCUGUCUGUCGUCUCUUCAGUAUGCAUAUGCAUCCGUCUGUCUGUCUGUCUGCAAUUCAGACACCUAAUAUUUCUAUUGAAUGCUGUGGGUGCAAACUGCAAACCCUAUCAAAGUGUUAUAAUGCUUCCCUGGAGAGGGACCACGAUGAGCUUGCUGCUUGCCUUCAAUUAAACAAUCCAUGUACUUUAGGCAUGCAUAGAGAAAACAAAAUGCAAUCUCAAUAUAUAAUAGUUUCGUUCAUAUAUAUAAUUAAGAACGGCAAAAAAAAAAGUGAAAUCAUUCCCGCAUUAUACAUGAUGAUCAGGUCCUCGAUCGUCAACCUUGUUUUUCCCCUUGUGGUUGUGGUGUCAGUGUGUGAUCUGAGCAUGUACCUUCUGCUGUAGCUGCUGGGAUGAAAGCGCGUCUAGCGGAAGAACUGUGGUGAUGGACUGAUGGUGGUAGUUGGGCGCCAUUGCUGGCACUAGCAUGACAUGUUUCUUGCAACGACAGAGAGAGACACGGCUGGAGCUUUGGACUGAAGCUGCAGGUGGAACUGGCUGGACUGGAAGCAGUACCAGUACCACUUCUCUUUCCGGACAAUACUGUUUGGGGAUCUUUUCGGUUCAACAUGCUACACUUUGGUGGUUCUGGAGAUGAACAAAAAAAGACAGCCCCAGAGAGAGAACCAGAAGUCAGUAGUUCAUGCAGGGACCAUGCAUGGUUGGGGAGAACCCGGCCGGAGCUUGGCGAGAACCUGUGUUGACCCAAAGCGGAAGGAGGGAAAACGUUAUUGUAGCAGUACAAGAACUUGAGGUGGUGUGUGUACAUAACAUAAGGCUGUCGAUAAAUGAAUUCAGAAGUGGUGUGUGUACCAAGGCCUUGUUUAGUUCCCAAAAAAUUUUGCAAAGUUUUUCAGAUUCUCCGUCACAUCGAAUCUUUAGACACAUGCAUGAAGUAUUAAAUAUAGACAAAAAUAAAAACUAAUUGCACAGUUUGGUCGAAAUUGACGAGACGAAUCUUUUAAGCCUAGUUAGUUCAUGAUUGGACAAUAUUUGUCAAAUACAAACGAAAGAGCUACAAUAUCGAUUUUGCAAAAUAUUUUGGAACUAAACAAGGCCCAAAAUAGAUGACUGUUUCUCUGAAAACCAAAAAGAACGUCGAAACGUAAAGGCAAUGAUUAUUUGAAAUGCGAAGGACAUGGCAGAAACCAGAAAUGCAGACUACAAUAAGGAGACAAUAUGCUACAAUAAUUAUUAUUCCAUCCACUACGGCUAUACUACGCCCACAAAGGGCAAACAUGAAUGUAAAUGAAGUCAAGUCAUAUACUAGUACACAAAUCAGGAAAAUACAUUUAUUGACUAAGCAUUCAUCUAUGAAAAAUAAAAUCCUAGAAAUCCACACAAGAUCCGUUUGCCCAGAUAGCAAGCAAGAUGGCAUACAGUAUUUGUAAUUGCAAGAACAAUUUCAACAAAACUUCUACUUCGAACCUAUUUUACUUUUGAGGACCAUGUAGCAAAAAUCAAGCUCCGUCAAGGCCUCUAUUCGCACCCUCAAAAUUCAAUCCUAGAAAUCACAGAAGACCCGUUUGCCUAGAUAGAUAGCAAUAUGGCACACUGAUAUUUAUAAUCUCAAGAGCAACUUCAGUAAGGCCUUAGGGUUAGAAAUUUUUUGUCGACAUCGAACCAACAAGUGCCGUUUUGGUGCUUAGCACCCUCCAUCACCGGUUUACCGGGAUCAAUGGAAUUAUUCAGAUGGGGCGCUCACCCCCCGGUGUUCUAUCAAAAAAAGUUUUCUAUUUUUUCUAUCAGUAUUUGCUAUUUCCUAUCAGUUUUCCACAGCCAUAUCUUAUUUUUUAGGGAUAUGUUGCAAAAAUAAUCAACCUCCAUCGUGUCCCCUAAUCAAGCCCUCAAAAGUAGGAGGCCAUCAAAUUCUCCCUCUAGCACUCAUUUCUAAGUGCUCUCCCCAAAGCCAGAUCUGCCCUCCCCGCUAGCCAAAAUUAGCUCCACAACACUCCUUGCACCCUUUGCCCUAUCAUUGGAAGCCUAGCUCUGCCCCCUUCUCCAAUUAUACCGAUCCUCCACCGUCGCUGAGCCCAAGCUCCUACCACUUUACACCCACCUAGAUCUCAACCCCAUGUCGCCCCAACCAUGAGCUUAGACCACCCAUCCUGCGCUCAAUCCCUAGUCACUCCAUUCUGAGCAUGGACACUAGUUUCCAUUUUGCUUGACUGUUGGCCGCCUAACCACUAGCCACUGAGCUCAUGCAAGAGUGCACACAUGAGUGUUCCUAGGAGAUGAGUUGGUAGUGAUGCAAACUCAUGUGGUAGGAUGUGUCGGUAAGGACAAAGAGAAGAAAAAAAGAGAGAAAACAAAGAACAUAUGCUGCACCUAACGACGAGUGGGUUCAUAUAUAUGUUAAUCUCUUUUGGAGUAAAUUUGAGGGCCCUUUACGAAGUUGAUGCCAGAAAAGGUAGGCUCUCUGUAAGUGCAUCUAGCCCUUUGGUGGACUACGUGAAAACAUGGUUAAAGGUCUAAUAAGUUUGUCAAGUGUUGAACAAAAAUUUAAUUAGGUUGCAUGCACUUAGAGAUAUGAUUUGUCGUAUGAUUUGAGGUGUAUCAGAGGUUAAAUAAGAAAGCAAACUUGAUGGUAUUUCAUAUCGUUUUGAAAUGAAAGCCAAAAUGAUGUAUUGUUGUGAAAGUAAUCUAGUUCAAGUAGAAGGCAAUAAUGUAAAUGAAACUGAUGAAAUGGCUUAUAUGUUAUGGGAUAUCAUCAUGUGAAAUCAAGCAUAUUUGUGAGUGACAAAAUAGGCAUAAGGUUAUGCAUAUGGAAUGGUCUCACUUGGAGAGCUUGCUUGGGAAAUCAAUUAAGAUGAAAAUGGAUUUUAUGAAAAGGAUUUCAAUAUAUGCUUAUUGUUGGUUCAAAUCACCAUGUAUCCUAGGAUAGCUUGAGAGGGUGAAAAUAGCAAGGGGAGAGGGCUUCUAAGAACCAAGCAAGGGUGAAGAUCAAGCGAUGGCUUGGGUGCAGAUGGACCACAGUUGCGAUGAAGAAGAGAGUACUUGCAUUAGGUAUUCACACUAAUCAUGCCAUGUCAAGUCACAUUGUGAGGAAGAACAGAUCAUUACUAGAUCUUAUAGAAGAAGUGACAUGGAGCCAUGAGUUGAACUCACAUAUUUGGAAUUGGUUCGAAUCGCAUGUUCAAGAUUGUGUUGCGCAAGAAGAUAAAGAUUGUUGCCACCCUCAUAUUUUGAAGAUAUGACUCAAGUUGUGAAUAUAAUAUCAUUCUUAUCCUGAGUAUAAGUAUGUCAUACUAGAAAGAGGGUUGCAACAUGAAUAGUUUGAUGUCUCAAGGGCUCAAACUAAUUGAACCAUAAGUGCUAGUAUAUAUGAGAGAAGCACAUAGCACAACACUUGCAUUUGUUUGCUUGUUCAUUGUUGGGAUGGUAGCCUGUAAAUAAGCUUUUCGAAAUAUUCAAGAACAUCAAAAUCAGAGUUCAAAGCUAAAAGGUGUUUUUCAUAAAGUGACUUGUGCUAUUUUUUUGAGGUGUCAGAAGUUCCAAUGAAAAAAUUGUAUAGUAGUAGUUUCUAGCGGCAGUAUUGUUCCAAUGAAAAAAACAUAAGUCCUAAUGUUUUUUGUAAUGUUUGAAAGACAUAAGAGAGUGUGGGUAUUUAUACUAUCGCCCCCUCACUUAAUUUGGAAGGGUUGUUGCUCUUCUCCCACUCCCCUAAUUGAACCAAAAGCCUUGCGAGCUCUCCAAAACCCCUCUUUUGUGAGGUUUGUGUUAUUUGUGAAAACCAUUUGAGUUGGAUCGAGAGAUUGCGAGUUAGUGAACACAAGAGAGCAAUUCAAAUCCUAGAGCACUUGUUAAGCUCCAUCAAUAGUUCAUGAAGCAUUUAUUACUCUUGGAGAUCUAAUCUCCUAGAUGGCUAGAUAAGAGUCAAGAGUGAGCAUCCAAGGUUGUGGAGUGUUGCAGCAAGUUUAUGAAGGCCUCGAUCUCAUCUUGGCAAUGGAAGAGAUUAAUAUUGUGGAUCAAUGAUAAUGGUUAAAACAAACCCAUCUAGAGUGCACCCUAAAGUGGUCACUCAUGGCUUCCCCCAACGAAGAUGUAGGGUUUGAAGUUCAGCGAACACAUCACUUGUCUCCUUUAUGCCUUACUUUUCAAUAUUUGUGUUUGUCCUGAUCUACUUAUUUGGUUAUGCGUGUUUGUGAGUGCAAGACCUUCUUAGACUUGAUAUUGGACAUCACCAAACUCAUAUAUCUAAGUUUCGUUUGAGCAGAACACUUAAGGCAUAGUUUCUUUUCGAAUUGCUCUGUCAAGCAUCAGAAGUUUUGAUCCUCGUUGGAACUUCCUAUGGUUAUUUUAGUCCACUGCAUUUUGAGUCGAUGAUUUUGUAGGAACUCAAAUUGAACUAUGUACUUUUCCAUUGACUUAUAUAUAUAUAUAUAUAUAUAUAUAUAUAUAUAUAUAUAUAUAAGUAUUCACAUCAACAUCCGCUUGCAUAUCCAACUAACACAUGCCAAGCUAUUCACAUUAGCAAGCCAUAGCAUUUACUAACAUAUAUUUAGUUAUCCACAUCAUAAUGCUAAAAAAAUCAUCCACUAACAUGUAUGAUGAUAUUUAUUUGUUUAUAUAAGUAGAUAUAAGUAUUAUAGUUUUAUCUGCUAUUCUCGUAGCAACAUUUGGGGUAUUAUUCUAGUUUACAUAUAUGGUGAAUACUCUACCAUGGGAGUAGGAGACAUCCAUUUGGGAACAUAGUUGCUGAACAGACAUAUCCUGGUAUUACUAGAUCCGUUCGUAUGGAUAGAUGAUUAGAUGUUAGGCCAUGUCACUAAUCUUGUGUCUUUACCACCAAAGCAAUCCACAGAAUGAGAUUACUUAAACUUGAUUGGUUCUUAAUAGAAAUUAACCACCAUCUACCUGGUAAGAAGAGGCACUGGCCAGCAGCACCCAGCAAAAACAUGUGGCAACACAUACCAACGAUCUACUAGGCAUGCAACAUGCGAGGUCAUAAGGCAACAAGAUCUUAGGUGUGUGCUUAGGGGCUGUGUUGUUUGGUUUGUAGUGUGGAAUUUUGUGGUGACAUUUUUCUUUUACAAAACACCUUAUAGACAUAGAUGUCCACAAACAUGUUCACACACUCAUCUCUAUGAAUGAACAAACUUCCUACCUUCUUGAGCAUCUUCAAAAGACUAGACCAAUAAAUCUUUAAUGAAGCGAUCAUAGACUUCUUACUAUCGUGAUGCAUGGCACCUACGGCCACAUAUAAUUUGAGUUUAUUGAGUUUAUUGCCAUGGGACCAUUUACUAACAUAUAUUUAGUUAUCCACAUCAUAAUGCUAAAAAAAUCACCCACUAACAUGUAUUAUGAUAUUUAUUCUUUCAUAUAAGUAAAUAUAAGUAUUAUAAUUUUAUCAGCUAUUCCCGUAGCAACGUUUGGGGUAUUAUUCUAGUUUACAUAUAUGGUGAAUACUCCGCCAUGGGAGUUGGAGACAUCCAUUUGGGAACAUAGUUGCCGAACAAACAUAUCCCGGUAUUACCAGAUCCUUUCGUAUGGACAGAUGAUUAGAUGCUAAGCCAUGUCACUAAUCUUGUGUCUUUGCCACCUAAGCAAUCCACAGAAUGAGAUUACUUGAACUUGAUUGGUUCUUAAUAGAAAUUAACCACCAUCUACAUGGUAAGAAGAGGCACUGGCCAGCAGCACCCAGCAAAAACAUGUGGCAACACAUACCAACGAUCUACUAGGCAUGCAACAUGCGAGGUCACAAGGCACAAGAUCUUAGGUGUGUGCUUAGGGGCUGCGUUGUUUGGUUUGUAGUGUGGAAUUUUGUGGUGACAUUUUUCUUUUACAAAACACCUAUGGACAUAGAUGUCCACAAACAUGUUCACACACUCAUCUCUAUGAAUCUAUAACUCUUAUAAAGCAAAAUCUCACUAUCUAUUUCUCUUAACAUGCAAUGCGUCCACCUUAGCAGUCCACUAUCAAUCUCACUAUUUAUUUCUCUUAAAAUGCAAAGAGUGCACCUCACCAGUCCACUAUCAUUUGCCACUAUCAAUUUCUCUUGACAUGCAAGGUGUCCACCUCAGCAAUCUACUAUCAUUUUCAUUAAAGUUCACUUCCAUAAGAAUUAUGACAUCCACAUCUGCUAGACACAUCAUCCACUAUGGAUAUAAUUUUCAUGAUUAUGCUAAUAAAAGAGGUAUAUAUUUAUAUUUCUUCUUCAUACCCGCGGCAACGCGCGGGGAAUCCUCCUAGUAUACACACACGAGCAUCUUCAAAAGACUAGACCAAUAAAUCUUUAAUGAAGCCAUCAUAAACGUCUUAUUAUCGUGAUGCAUGGCACCUAGGCUAUAAUUGUCAUAAAUUUGAGUUUAUUGAACUAAUGCUACGAUGGUUUUUUAUCGUUUCUAAGUUUAAACCUUGUUUAGUUUUCAAAAAAAUUCAAAAUUUCUCAUCAUAUCGAAUCUUUUGGACGUAUGCAUAGAGCAUUAAAUAUAGAUAAAAAAAACUAAUUAUACAAUUUACUUAUAAUUUGCUAGACGAAUCUUUUGAACCUAAUUAGUUCAUAAUUGAAAAAUAAUUAUCAAAUACAAACGAAAAUACUCCAGUAGCCAAAACCAAAAAAUUUCACGAACUAAACAAGGCCUUAUUAUCUUUUGUAGCACGUCUCAUGUUGUUCUAUCGGCAAAACCACGGGUUCGGUUUCCAAAUAUAUAUACACACAACCACCGCGAAAUGACCUUUAAUUCUCUGGACAACCACCUACACUUUGCAGUACGCAUUGUAGGCUCGAGGGAGUGUGCGGUAUCGGGCUGAAAUCAUAGCGAUCGACACUUCGCACGGCAUGAUUCGUCCUCGGCAGCUGGGCUUGCUGUCAGGCCGGGGGGAGCCAGCCAGGCGAGCAGCCAAUAGAGGUUGUCCUGUGCACACGCUCGCUGAGCUGUGAGCGGUGACGUGCGAAGGGUGUGCGUGCCACCGGGCCGGUCACCACCAGCCUUGCCCGGUCAUCACCGUCCGCGGGACCAGGCAUUGGUCGACGCUCGCUGACUAUGAUUAGUCCAAGAUUGGAAUGGGUCCGAACUAGGGCAGGCAGCGGGCUUUUACUGUUUCAUAUGCCAUUCCACUGCAUGCACUGCCUGCAUUUGGAUGAUGUCACGGUGGACUCAAUCUUUUAAUAUGGCUUCUUAUUCUCUUCACAUGCUAGUAUUGUUUUCAUCUUUGGAAGGAAGACGACGCUCGUUAGGAGACAACAAUUGAAUAGGCAUGUUUUUGGUUCGAGCCCAAACACACGGUAACAACUAAGCUUAGACAACUGCGGUUUACCUAUAGCAAAAGAAUCAGCCGCCUUAGUAGCAAUUGCGUGCCUAUGAAAUGCUAAAACAAUGCGCUAAGAAAGAAUGUUGAGCCACAACCGUGGCAAUGAACCAAAUUAGUUACCUAAAAUAUUUUGGUGCGAUUAAGGCCUUGUUUACUUCCAAAUUUUUUUGCAAAAUAGGAAUAGUAGCAUUUUCGUUUGUAUUUGACAAAUAUUGUCCAAUUAUAGACUAACUAGGCUCAAAAGAUUCGUCUCGUCAAUUUGACCAAACUGUGUAAUUAGUUUUUAUUUUCAUCUAUAUUUAAUACUCCAUACAUACGUUUAAAGAUUCGAUGUGACGGGGAAUCUAAAAAAUUUUGCAAAAUUUUUCGGGAAGUAAACAAAGCCUAAAUUGUGGUCUGCCAAUGAACUAACAACCAUAUCAUUGUCCUGUAAAGAAAAAUUUAGGGGACUAAAAGAGUUAAGGCUACUGGUAUCCAUCUACUUGUGUUGCGAUGUUGACAAAUAAUUAUAAGAGACAUAAGCGAUAUACAUUCACAGGUAAAUCUAGGGACUACGUACAACUAGUCAAAAUUGUUCAUCUUUUUUAUCUCUCUCAUUUACUCAUAUUCUAAGACAAUACUCACAUAGAUGAUUUCUUAUCUUUAUAUGGUUGUGAUAUAUAGAAUUUUGAUGCUCAUUACUCUAUAUAUACUUUUCCACCAAAAUUCAUAGUUCAAACUGCCUCAUGUGUUUAUUCUCUACAAUACUCAUAUUCAUGUUUUCUUAUCUUUACCCUAGUAUUUAUUUUCUUCGGUGGAGGCUAACUUUAAAUCUUAUAUGAAGAUUCUUGUAGAGUUGCUAGCGAAAGGAAUUCAUGCGUUCCGACCAAACCUAUGCACAUAAAGAAAAGGCCGCUCCUAGCCGCCACAAGGAGACACCGCUGAUGUCGUGCCUCCGUCUAGGACCCUUCUCAUUCUCUUCUAUUUUACCUCAACUUUUAGAUGUUUGCCAAGACCGUACACAUAUAAAAUUUUUAAUAUAUAAGUGCUAAUUUUACUUCUAAAUCCAAAGUAAAUUCAACAAUAUAAACUAAAAAACAAUACUAUACAAAUAGUUAAUUUAGAUUAAAAAAUGAAUAAGGAAAAAAAUACCUAGGGUUUGGACAUAAACUAAAAUAAAUGAUCAGCGAUCGUAUUCGCAAGAAGGUAAGAAUCAAGAUAUCGACAUCGUGGAGCCCUACAUGGUCGCCGCCGUCGUGCGCCGUUCUUCGGCGUCCAACUCUCCAUGGCGACACGGCUCACUGGUUCCACGUGUGUGCGUUGGCACGUAAAAAAUUCGCUAGUCACGAUUAGAAUGGCGUGGCUCCUCAUCUCCUCUGUCCAAGGACAGUGGAGAAAGGGAAACUAGAAAAAAAAGGCCGAUGUUGUCUUCUUAGGCCGGUUGAUCAAUUCUCUAUCUCUCUUUUCAUUAGUGUCUGAUGCCUAAUGGACUAUAGACUUAGAGAUUUGUAUACUUAGGUUUGGGCCCCUCUCUUGCUUAGGCAUUCGGGGGUCGCACCUCAUGCCCUAUCCCUAUCCCUAGAGCCGACACUAGACAAGGUCACCACUGCAGAAUUUCAUUGCCAUGCAUUAUAAUUUCCGCUCCACUCAGCAAAAUAAAAAAAUUAAAGCAAAACACUAGUAAGGCCUUGUUUGGUUUAAAAAAUUUUCAAUUCAUUGUCACAUCAGAUCUUUUAACACAUGCAUAAAAUAUUAAAUAUAAAUAAAAUAUAACUACUUACACAAUUUGUCUAUAAUCAAGUACCUGCACCAAACCAGCUGCGGACACUGAUAGGUCCCAUUUCCUCUUCACCAGAUCGUCGCGAACGGUCACUGAGAAAUGGCCCAGAGUGAGCGGCUCAUCAGCAUGCUGGGCCCCGCCUGGCCGGGUGCGAUCUGGGACAAGGCAAAUCGUCCGUACCCGACUACGCGUGUGGCAGUGUUUCACCAGUUUUUGCAAGGGUUUUCGUCGACAUCCAUGUAGCCCAACAGUGGUGUAGUUGGAGCGCGCGUACGUCGGGUGACCUGCGUGAUCACUGCGUUGUAUUGCCAGCCGCCAUUCAGUACUUUCAUUCACAAUCGUCAGUCUUCUCGCUAACAUAAUUUAAUUUAGUCAUUUUUUAUUGUAUAUAAAAAGGCGGGUAGGUUAGCUGACACAUCGCUCCAAGAAACUUGGAAUUAAUGUUGACAAUAAUUCUAAGAAUAAGGGGGAAAUGACGUACAUAUACGACUCUCUUCGCUCCAAAUUAUAAAUCAAUUUGAUUUUUUAUAUUUGUUUUACUAUACCUCUAGAUAUAACGUACUUCUAUGUCUAAUACAUAGCAAAUUCUAUGUAUUAAAAAUAUAGAGUGACCUUUUUUUCUCAAUCAAACAAGAGCAUUGCGUAAGUUUUUUAUUAAAAAAGGGUGAUCCCCGGCUGGCGCAAGGAGCAAAAAAACAAAUGUCUUAUAAUUGGCAACGGAGGGGUAGUAUUCUGGCAAAAAUCUUACUAGCUAUAGCACGCGGGAGUAGUGAUGUGAUAUGAUAUGAUAUGAUAUGAUAUGAUAUGAUAUGAUAUGAUAUGAUUGUUAUAGCAUACUCACUCCUUCCCAAUAAAAGUGUCAUUGUAGCCUUCAAAAUUUAUCCCAAAAUAAUAUGUCGUUUUACGUGUAGUCCCAGCUUACCCGAUGGGUACUGGCCACCCAUAUGUGCACCCGCCAUGUCAAAAUCUAUUCCAUUGGGUUACCCGCGAAAGCAGAUGGGUAAGGAAUUCAUUCCAUACCCGUACCUAACGGGUAAUUCUUAACCGACGGGUAUUCCAUACCCGAAAAUAUACUCGAGUUCAACAGAAAUAUAACAACUUUCAGGUAUUCCAUACCCGAAAAUAUACCCGAGUUCAACAGAAAUAUAACAACUUUCAGCAAGUUAACUAUCACAACUUCUAGAAAAGUAAACAUAACAACUUUUAGCAAAUUAAUAGCAGCACUAGUAGCACACCAGCCGCUCAACACUUCCCACGUUCAGCAGCGCCUGGUGCACGAGCGGCAGCAGCCCCUGAUGGAAAUUUCAUGGACUAUAUGGGCUAAAUUUCAUGGGCUAUAUGGGCUAAAUUACUUAGGCUGCUUACUCAUUUUACGGGUAUUUCUUACCCGGGUACGCGGGUAUGGGUACUACUAUUCCACACCAUACCCGGAUGGAUAAAGGAUUUCGUCCAAUAACGUACCCACGGGUACAAAUCCAUUCCAUACCCGCGUCCUUAUCGGGUAAAACCCGUCGGGUACUUGGGUUUCGGGUACCCGUUGCCAUCUCUAGUCCCAGCCCACUAUAGCCUGCAGGACUAUCCCUUCACCAGUUCACCUCCUCCCUUCCGCUUGCCUUUUUGCUAAAAAACAUAGCACCGGCGUGGCAGCGAAGAUGGAGCGGCCGACAUGGCCAGCGCAGAGGCGGAGCGGCAGCGUGCCUUGAUGCGGAGGCAGAGGCGGCAUUGAGGCGGAGUUCGUAGCUCGCACCCGCACCUCAGGUGGCUUCGCAUGACAUCAACCACCGCCAUGGUCUCACCAUAGACCUAGACGUCGUGCCAACCAUUGGCCACUGCGAGCUCCAUCCUACGCUAGAGCACUAAGGGCCCAACGUGGAAGCAGAGAUGGCCAAGGCACCCCCUCCUCUUCUGCUUCGCCAAGAUCUGGCAACCUCCCUCCUCUUCUUCUACACUGUUGGCGGCCCCUCUCCCCUCUAAGCACUCGUGAAGAGGACAACAGAUAAUUAAGGUGCCUUCCUCGUUCCUCCCAUGAGCUCUGCCUUGGCUCAACCUUCUUGAAGGUAGGGGCUGCCUUGGGCGUGGUCGCGUGAUCCUAUCUAGGAUCUACCAUGCCACCUGAGCGGCCGCUGGAGACGAGGACAGGGCAGAGAGGCUGGCAGUAGGGAAGGCCCAAGUUGGCGCCCUCCGCAGGUUCGUGACAUCAUCGCAUGUCCCCAUCGGCACCUUUAUUUCCUCCCCUUCAUCGGUGGCGGCACCCCUUAUUAUUCUCCUCCUCUAUCCUGCUCCUCUUCUCUGUGGGCAAGGACGCUAAGUGGGCAGCUUGCCGUGGAGCUAAGGCAGAGCACGUGGCCCGAUGUCAACGACAAGAGUGACCGGCGCAGAGUUGUGUUUGUUAGGCAAGGAGGAGGCACAUAGCUAAAUCUUGAUGAGAAGCAAGGAGCACAAGAGAAAGGAGAAUGUUGACGGUAACUAAUGCUCAUUUUUAUCCAUCAAUUAUUGCUUGAUAUGACAUGAUAUGAACCACAAAACAUAGUUGUAGGGUUUGAAACUAACAAGUUCCACGAGUUUUGGUGAAUCUAUGUUUUACAGAUUUUAAACUAGAAAAGGUCCAGAAUCACCAAAUAGAAGUAUCUCAAGUGAUGAAUCAGAGUACACCAUUGUAAAGAGCUCGUUGAGACACAUAAAAUAGAGUUUUGGUUUACCCAAAUCAGAGUCCAGACGAUAAAGUUACGCCUUUCGGAAGAUUGCAAAUGGGCUUCAAGAGCAGUCCAGAGUAAAUUGGGCAUAUCUCGCUCACCCGGACUCCGUUUUUAGUGAUCCAGAACUUUUUGGAAAGCUAACAAAGAGAACUAUCAGCUCAUCAAAAGAGGAGCCUACCUAGCAUUAAGCUAGGCCAGCUGGCCCCACAUGUAAGAUCGGCCGGCCUGCCCCCAAACCCUCUUGCGCCGUGCUUUUUCAGGACUCUUCCACCGCCUCCAAGGAUACAUCUCCACCCUACAUUAAGGUCGGUUUGAUCCAAAGGCUACGGUUUAUCCCACUGGACUAUAUAAGCAGAGGCGGAUCCCCCUCAGAGGCGUUUGAAGAAGAGAGGUGUCCCUGAAUGGAUGUCCUCUCUACUCCCAAUUUAGAGUAGAUCUAGACUUCUAGAUAGUAGAGAGAUGGAGAGCGAGGGAAGAAUUUGGAGGAGGUGCCGGCCUGUCGGUGCUUUUUCUAUGACUUGUACUUUGGCACGAUCAGGCUCUACUUGGGCUUGCUCCUGAGAUGGCUCUAGAUCUUGCCAUCAACUUCUCAUUCAAGUAAAAUUCAUGUUUAUAUAUUCUUCUAGUCUCGAAUCUCUUUUGAGUACUUUAAUCUUUUGCAAGAGGUUAGAGUAAACUUCGUAGUGUAGACAUGGUGCUUAGGCUCGGGGUUAUCCGUAGAUGCAACCUAUAUCUGGAUCGGUGGUGGAUCGCGAAGGUGACAGCUUUGUUGAGUCCUAUGUAGUCCACCUCCCGUCUAUAGGCCUAGUAGGAGACCUUUGUUACGUGGUAGAUUCAUACUAUGUUUGCAGUCUUCCAUAGUAAUUCUCCAGUUGAAUAGUAGAAGACAUGGACUGCUUGAGUUAGAAGGAACCCUGAUCGAGCUAUCAUCUCUAUACUCCUACUAUCGACCCCAUACUAAAUUGAUCCUCCCCUACUUUUUAAUCUUGUUUUCACUUUAGAUCUUGUCCCUAGCAUAGUUUAUAUUUCGAACUCAUUUAUCUUUUAUAGUUAAGUUAGUACAUAGUUGACUCACCUGUUUCCCUGUGGAUAUGAUAUUUAAAACCCUCCGGGUGAAAACUACAAUGGUAUCCGUGCCCUUGCGGAUAUUUUCUAUUCGCGUUAAUAAAUACCAACAGAGAAUAUUAUGAUAGAGACAUUAUUGAUAUUUUCCCUACGGCCUUCGUAUAUAGGCACGCUGAGUCCUACAACAACUCUUUUGUGGGGAUGGAGGGACUUCUAUGCAAAGUAAUUAGGAGUAUUAACAUGCGAUUCUAGAACAUUUAAUCAGGGCCAAAGCGAAGAGGUCAUGUUUAGAUUGCUGAUAAAAAAUUUUUUGGGUGUCACAUCGGAUGUGUCGGAAGGAUGUCGGGAUGGGUUUUUAGAAACGAAUAAAAAAACAAAUUACAUAGGUCGUCAGCUGCAAGACAAAUCUAUUAAUCAUAAUUAAUCUGUCAUUAGCACAUGUGGGUUACUGUAGCACUUAAGGCUAAUCAUGAAGUAACUAGGCUUAAAAAUUCGUCUCGCGAUUUUCAACCAAACUGUGUAAUUAGUUUAUUUUUUUAUGUAUAUUUAAUGUUCUAUGCAUAUGUCCAAAGAUUUGAUGGGAUCGAUGAAAAAAUUUUGAGGGGCAAACUAAACAGGGCCUAAAGAGAGACGGGCAGGAGAGUGAUGGGAUACUGACAACUGCGAGCUCUAUGCUGGCGCAACAGUAUGGAAAAUUUAAGGCAUCAUUCAAUACUAUCCUACACAUAUUCUCGAGCAAAAGCAAUGCCGGUCGGCGCCCCAAACCCUGCUCGUAUGUAUGGCGUGUGACGCUGAUGCCACCGUACCUUGACUUGACCUACUAGCUGAUCGACGCUGCUUGAGGCCUUGUUCAGUUCGCAAAAACUUGUGAAAACGGCACUGUAGCACUUUCGUUUUUAUUUGACAAACAUUGUUCAAUUAUAGAGUAACUAGGCUCAAAAGAUUCAUCUCGCGGUUUACAGAUGAACUGUGUAAAUAGUUUUUGUUUUCAUGUAUAUUUAAUGCUCCAUGCAUGUGCCGCAAGAUUCGAUGUGACGGGGAAUCUUGAAAAUUUUUACGAACUAAACAAGACCCGACUUGGCCUACGACAAGAGGCUACAUGAAUCGAGUUGCCUGUGUGAGUUUGUGCUACAGUACUAGCUAGCUAGUUCUACGGCGAAGCGACACAGGUGAUGAGAGUGUGGGAGGCCGGAGGCGGCGGUGGCGGUAGGGUGGCGUGGUUCUUUGUAAAAGCGGCACGAUCUGGAGGUGACCGCGGACUUAUUUUUGUUCCCGCGGCCGGGUCGGAGGCGGACGAGCGAGGCGACCUAGUGUUGGCGCACCAUCAAGCGCGUCGGCGGGGAAACAUUGCGGCAGCAGCGCAGCUACCAUGCAUCAAUGGUGCAGUAAAGGGAGGUGGGGAGAGGGGGCGGGGCGCGCGCGCUUCAAACUCGCCGAGGCCUGCUCCGAUCCUGCGCCCCCCGGCUCCGGAUGGAGCCUGCGCGUGGCCGGCCUCCGCCUCGAUCGGCCUCGCAUCAUAGCGCGGCGUGCGGCGCUGGAUUCAUGUACGUAGGAGACAUGCACGAGAGCGAAAAAGGCGUGCGGCGCUGGACUCAUGUACGUAGGAGACAUGCAUGAACGCGGGGCGCUAACAGGUCACUCUGGUGUGUUGUGUUGCGUUGACAAAAUUUGUAGGGUUGGGUGGUGGACCAUGCCCGUGUCCGCUGCUGUGUUGGAGGCCUUUGUUAGCUUGUUCUUUCCUUAUUUCCACUAAAACAGUAGAAUUUGGAAUGUUUGAAGUUAGAACUUAGGGGUGUUUGGUUGGGGUAUUAAAAUUUAAUAGGUAUUGUAUUAUUAUUUUUUUGUUUUUUUAUAGUUGGUGUCCAAUAAUAGAUUAAUUAGGCUCAAAAGAUCAGUCUCACAAAUUAUUAUCUAAUUGUAUUUUUAGUUUUGUAAAUAAUCUAUAUUUAAUACUUUAUGCAUAUGUUAAACAUUUAAUACUUUGGGUGGUAAAAAAAAUCUCUCUAACCAAAUAGGACUUAAAGUGGUGAGCCCACAUCUUGCUUUUUACUCUACGACAAUUAUAGUGGAGCAUCUAUUGACUUGAAACGUGUCGCCGUUAUGCGAGUAACAGGGAUGGGUGUGGAUGCUCAGAUAUCCGAAAGAUCUAAUAUGUAUAUUCAUUUUAGUGUAAAUAUGGAUAUCUAUAUUCGUAUUCGAUGUAAAUAUAGAUGUUAAAUGGAUGUAUCUAUGUUUUAAUGUCAUUCUCUAUCUAAAUCCAUAUCCGCAUCCAACAAAAAUGUAAAAUAUCCGAUAAUAUCUGUAUCUGCAAAGUACAAAUUAUUUUGAAACCAUCUAAUUCUUAAAAAUAUGACUAAUAAACUAUAUAAAUCAAAAUAAAUUUAAUAUAACAGAUGAUAUGUAUUAUUAUUUAAAAGUUAUCUAAGGCUAAUGUAAUUUAAAUAUUAUUAACAAUACAUAAAUCUUAAGUUUGAUUAAUUUUAAUAUGGCUAAUCAUACUGUUGGUACCAUAAUAAGGGAUACCCAAAUCAGAGCAAUAAAAAACGCAAAGAAACAUUCUAACCACAAUCAUCAGGGCCUCGGACGCAAGUUCCGACUCGCCCGACCCCUCACGGCAUCGGACGCAAGUUCCGACUCGCCCGACCCCUCAGGGCAUCGGACGCAAGUUCCGACUCGCCCGACCCCUCAGGGCAUCGGACGCAAGUUCCGACUCGCCCGACCCCGUCCAGACUCGAGCACCGGACCCCACUCCGCUUGGGCAGCAAGACUUCCACCGCACGACGCCCGUACCCACGACGUGACAGACGCGACGGCUUCCAUAUCGCGGCAGGGCAAGGCGAUAACUAUUCCAACCACCCAUGUCACUGUGCCCUUACCUCUUUCACUGUGACGUACUGCCUCACAGUAGGAAGGGAAUGGGGGAGGUUAAUCAGCACCACUAUUGGAGGUCACUUCCCACUGCUGACAGCAUGUGCAGCGGUGCCGGCGACCCGACCCCCGCGACUCCAACAGGGCUCGGUAACACUCUACAGGAACAGCCAUACUGCCGACCAUCUCCCAAGGACGAGAUGGACCAGCUCCAACAGGGUCGGAACUGUGGUUUCACCGUUCCAUCCAGGGGAAUUAACUCAUGUAAAUCUUUGUCUCCCCUUUAGACUAUAAAAGGGGAGCCAGGGUUCACAACUAGAAAAAGGUCCAGAAGGCCAAGUUCAUACACACAACACUCUUUCUCAGAGCAGCAACCCGCACUCUGUCCACCACCAAGCCGAGACCUGGGACUUAGCCCUCUCUCGCAACCCGCUUGUACCCUCUACUACAAGCACCUUUGGGUGCAAGGUUAUACAGAAAUUCUGAUCUCACUGGACGUAGGGCAUUCUUGGCCCGAACCAGUAUAAACCCUCUGUGUCUCACUUGCAUCACCAUCCAAGCUUGGUCAGUCACGCAGACUUAUACUUGUUAGUACCUAGACCGCGAGUCUAGACGCCGACAGUUGGCGCGCCAGGUAGGGGCCUUCUACGUGACAUUCACCUGUCCCUACUAGGAAGGUUUGGAUGGCAGACGGGUUUCACCCACUCCGCCGCGGCACCAUCAUGAUGUUUGGGAGUUUGGAGUUCAUGUCCCUCGGUUCCGGCUACGACAUGGUCCUCCUCCCGCCACGUGACGACGUCGAGCCUAGCCCCGAGCCGAUCCCACCACAGUCAGUGCGUGGGAGACGUUCGGGACACCGUGCGGGGGGCUCACAGAGGGGGCGUCAGAGAUCUAGGAUCUUCGACCCUACCUCUGAGGCCAGGACCCGUCCGGUCCUCCCCCCGCAUAUUCCUCACCAGGUCGCCUGCUCCUCCGGCCCGACAGGUGCUAGAGGAAGGGCUUGUGGGGCAUCAAGCUCCGCUCCCAGAACCAACAGAGGAUCAUCGCGACCACCCGUCCCACCCCGUUCGAAGGGGAAAGCACGGCCCGCGCCCGUCCCCCGCAAGGGGGACAAAGGGGCCUCAACGUCCCGUCCUCCUCCGCCUACGGACGAAGGAGCAGCAGCGGCACCUCCUGAGUUACCUUUUGGGCUCAGGAAUGCCGCCGCCACUUACGCCUCUUCCAUGAGCACUUCGUUAAGUGCGUACGCGGAACUUCCGGGGCACCACUUGAGGUCUACACUGGACCUCAUCUCUACGCCGCCCGUUUCGUCAUACCCUGAGGAUCCUACCUCAGGCGACGACGAGUGGGCGGGCGCUGACUUUUCCGGGUGUGGUGACCCGGAGACCUUCAUGCGCUUCCUGGAAGCCAGCAACUACUGUCUCGGCUACUCCGACUCCGACAACGGAAGCUACGACCCAUCACGAGAGUGCUUCAACUUGGAAGUCGGAGGCACGCCGCAUAACGGCCAGGGGGACGUAGGGCCCUCUAGGCAGGAGAAUGCAACACCACCUCCCAACCCUACCCCCGGAACCGAUCUCGGCGCCCGAGGGGUAGCGUCGGCCCCUGUUGGUGGACAUCGCCCUGACCUCGUGCAGCUCGACGAGCUGGAAGCCAGGCUCGAAGAAGAACGCGCACGCCUCCGCCAACUCCGCGAGGCCCUGGUCCGAGAGCCGUCAGGCCGUGGAGACGGGGGUGAAGCCAGACGUCGCGCCCGUGACGUCAACCACCGUAUCGUCGAGGACCAAGGGGGUGACGCCCCAGUCUUCAGCAUGGCCAGCCAAAACGUGAUGGCCGCUGCGCUCCUCCUCAGGGCGAUGCCCGAGCCAUCGACCCCUGAGGGAAGGAGAGUGCGCCAGGGGUUGCGUGGCCUCCUGGAGCAGGCUGUGGUGCAGAACGCGGAAAGUUCCGCCUCGCAAUCCCAUAGCACGAGACGUCGUGGGGACCGACCCCCUCCGCACAAGGCACCAACGGUACAGGGUCCGCCGCCCCCUGACCCCCAAAGGGGCGACAAGGCCCCGUCGGUACAUGAGCGCGUCGGAGCAGGCGCGGACGCACGGGCCACCCUCGAGGCCAGGCGACGCGACAGGGACGAAGCCGAGUCCCGACGUUACCGACCCCGCCGAGGAGGGAGGUACGACCCCGAUCACGAUCGCAGCACGUCACCAGAGCCUCCGGGUCCCCGCGUCUUCAGCGAGGCCAUACGCAGGGCCAAGUUCCCGGCGCGAUUCCGACAGCCCGCCAACCUCACCAAGUACUCAGGGGAAACGAACCCUGAGCUCUGGCUGGCGGAUUACCGCCUAGCAUGCCAGCUGGGCGGCGCAGAUGACGACCUGCUCAUCAUCCGCAACCUCCCACUCCACCUGGCCGAUACGGCCAGGGCAUGGCUCGAGCACCUCCCUGAGCGCAUGAUCCAUGACUGGGCUGACCUGGUCAGAAUCUUUGUCGGGAACUUCCAGGGCACGUACGUGCGCCCUGGGAACUCCUGGGACCUCAGGAGCUGCCGGCAGAAGCCUGAUGAGUCCCUCCGAGACUUCAUCAGGCGAUUCUCCAAACAGUGCACCGAGCUCCCCAACAUCACGGACUCCGACAUGAUCGGAGCCUUCAUUUCCGGUACCACCUGCAAGGAGUUGGUACACGAGCUCGGACGCAAGACCCCCGCGAGCACUAGCCAGCUGCUCGACAUCGCCACCAACUUUGCCUCAGGCGAAGAGGCAGUCGGCGCCAUUUUCUCCGACGGCGCAGCCAAGGGGAAGCAGAAGGCCGAGGCCACCGAAGCCUCAGGGUCACGCGACCCCAAAAAGAAGAAGAAGGGUCGCAAGGGGAAGCAGGGUCAGUCGAACGACAACCUAGUCGCCGCGGCUGACCGCAAGAACCCCAAGCGGGCUCCUGCUGGCCCCGGUCUCUUCGACGAAAUGUUGAAGAAGCCGUGCCCCUAUCACAGGGGGCCAACUAAGCACACCCUCGAAGAAUGCACCGUCCUCCGCCGGUACUAUACCGACAUCAUCGCCAAGGAGAGUGCUGAAGAGCCUCCCAAGGACGACGACCUCCAGGGGGAGGAUUUCCCCAAGGUCAAGAACUGCCUUCUCAUCUUUGGGGGACGAGCGACUCGCCUCACCGCGAGUCAGAGGAAGCGCGAACUUUGAGAAGUCUGCGCAGUCAGCACGGCCGCGCCCUCGUACCUCAAAUGGUCCGAGAGCGCGAUCACAUUCGACAGACAGGAUCACCCAGAUCGGAUCCCCAAUCCCGGGAGCUAUCCUCUGAUCGUCGACCCCAUCAUCGCCGAGACCUGUCUCACUAAGGUGCUGAUGGAUGGAGGCAGCGGCCUCAACAUCCUCUAUGCCGAGACUCUGGCCCUCAUGGGGAUCAGCAAGUCCCGGCUGAGGAACGACACCUCACCAUUCCACGGAGUGGUGCCGGGGCAUCGCGCCCACCCCGUCGGACAGAUCGAUCUGUCCGUCUGCUUCGGGACCCCCGACAACUUCAGACGAGAGGUCCUCACUUUUGACGUGGUCGGGUUCCCCGGGACCUACCACGCGAUCCUGGGACGACCAUGCUACGCCAAGUUCAUGGCCGUCCCCAACUACACCUACCUCAAGCUCAAGAUGCCAGGGCCAAAGGGCAUCAUCACCGUCAGCACGACCAGUCAGCACGCCUACCAGUGCGACGUCGAGUGUAUUGAGCAGGCUGAGGCUCUGGCUGAGUCCUUGGCCAUUCUCACUGGCCUCGGCGACUGCGACCAGGACGUCCCCGACCCCAAGCGUCAUGCCGGGAGCUUCGAGCCGGCAGAGGAGACCAAGCUGGUUUUUCUCGACCCCGGGACCUCUGAAGGCAAGGCGUUGAGGAUUAGCUCCAGCCUCGACCCCAAAUAGGAAGUGGUGCGCGUCGACUUUCUCCGCGCAAACGCCGAUAUAUUUGCGUGGAGUCCCUCGGACAUGCCUGGAAUACCGAGGGAAGUCGCCGAGCACUCCUUGGACAUCCGAGCCGGCUCCAAACCCGUGAAGCAACGCCUGCGCCGAUUCGAUGAGGAGAAGCGUCGGGCCAUCGGGGAGGAGAUCCACAAGCUGCUGGCGGCCGGAUUCAUCAAGGAGGUAUUCCAUCCCGAGUGGUUAGCCAACCCCGUGCUAGUUAAAAAGAAAAAUGGGAAGUGGAGGAUGUGUGUAGAUUAUACUAGUUUAAAUAAAACAUGUCCGAAGAAUCCCUUUCCAUUACCUCGGAUCGAUCAGAUAGUUGACUCCACCGCGGGAUGUGAAAUUUUGUCUUUUCUUGAUGCUUACUCCGGCUACCAUCAAAUCAAGAUGAAGAAGUCCGACCAGCUCGUGACUUCAUUCGUCACCCCUUUCGGAAUGUAUUGCUACGUAACCAUGCCUUUUGGCCUCAAGAACGCAGGGGCUACAUAUCAAUGAUGUAUGCUCCAGGUUUUUGGGAACCUCAUAGGCAAAACGGUAGAGGCUUACGUAGACGACAUCGUCGUCAAGUCUAGGAAAGCGUGCGGCCUGGUUGCCGACCUGGAAGAAGCAUUCCGAUGCCUUAGGGCAAAAGGGAUCAGACUCAACCCCAAAAAGUGUGUUUUCGGGGUCCCCCGAGGCAUGCUCCUUGGGUUUAUUGUGUCUAAGCGGGGGAUCGAGGCCAAUCCAGAAAAGGUCUCGGCCAUCGCGAAUAUGGGCCCUAUUCGUAACCUAAAGGGAGUACAGAGGGUAAUGUGAUGUCUAGCCUCCCUAAGCCGUUUCAUUUCUCGCCUCGGGGAAAAAGGGCUGCCUCUGUAUAGGUUACUUAGGAAAUCUGAGCACUUUUCCUGGACCCCCGAGGCCCAGGAAGCCCUUGACAAGCUCAAGGCUUUGCUCACCAACCCUCCCAUCCUGGUGGCCCCCGCCGAGGGGGAACCGCUAUUUCUUUAUGUCGCAGCCACUGAUCAGGUGGCCAGCGCGGCUAUCGUGGUCGAGAGGAAGGAAGAAGGGCACGCCCUGCCGGUCCAGAGGGCGGUAUACUUCAUCAGUGAGGUACUCUCCGACACAAAGACCCGAUACCCUCAGAUCCAAAAAUUACUCUACGCUGUAGUGUUGGCCCGGCGCAAGCUCCGACAUUACUUUGAGUCUCACCCGGUCUCAGUCAUCUCAUCCUUCCCUUUGGGAGAAGUGAUUCAGAACCGAGAGGCCAACGGGAGGAUUGCCAAAUGGGCCAUAGAGCUCAUGGGCGAUGGGAUCACCUAUGAGCCUCGCAAAGCCAUAAAGUCCCAGGUCCUGGCCGACUUUGUGGCAGAGUGGACUGGGACUCAGCUCCCACCCCCACAAAUCCAGCACGAAUGCUGGACCAUGUACUUCGACGGGUCCCUGAUGAAAACUGGGGCCGGCGCAGGCCUUGUCUUCAUCUCACCCCUCGGGGUAAGGAUGCGAUACGCAAUCCGGCUUCACUUUCCUGCUUCAAACAAUGCAGCAGAGUACGAGGUCCUUGUUAACGGUCUCCACAUCGCGAUCGAGCUUGGGAUCAAACGGCUCGACAUCCAAGGCGACUCUAGGCUCAUCAUCGAUCAAGUCAUGAAAGAGUCUAGCCACCAUGACCCCAAGAUGGACGCAUACUGCAAAACGGUUCGACGCCUGGAAGAAAAAUUCGACGGCCUCGAGCUUAACCACGUGCUAAGGAAGUAUAAUGAGGCCACCGACGCGCUCGCCAAGAUGGCAUCCGAGCGGGCCACGGUCCCCCCGGAUGUUUUCGUCAGUGACCUCUACAAACCUUCCGUCGACUACAAGGACGACGUGGGGUCGGACGAACCCCUAAGCAAACAGAGUGCCGACCCCAAAGACGCUGUCGCUCUAGAACAGGAGGCCAUGGACUUCGAGCCAGAGCCACCUGCAUCUGACGACACGCCUGACUGGCGCUACCCUUUGCUUCAACGCCUGGUCGAUGGCACUUGGCCCCUGGACCAGGCUGAGGCAAGGCGCGUGGCCCGUCGCGCCAAGACCUUCGUCCUCCUUGACGUGGAAAUGUACAAGCGCAGCCCCUCGGGCAUCCUCAUGCGUUGCAUCCCACGUCAGGAAGGAGUCAAGCUCCUGCAGGACAUACACUCGGGGGCUUGUGGCCAUCACGCCGCACCUCGGACGUUGGUAGGAAAUGCCUUCCGACAGGGUUUCUACUGGCUAACCGCUGUGGCCGACGCCACAGAGAUCAUAAGGACCUAUGAGGGAUGCCAGUUUUACGCUCGGCGGAUACAUCAGCCCGCCAAGGCCUUGCAGACGAUCCCCAUCACCUGGCUUUUCGCUGUCUGGGGCCUCGACCUGGUCGGGCCUCUGCAGAAAGCGCCCGGAGGCUUCACCCACGUGCUUGUCGCAAUCGACAAAUUCUCCAAGUGAAUCGAGGUCCGACCCAUCACAAGGAUCAAGGCCAAACAGGCGGUAUUAUUCUUCACGGAUAUCAUCCAUCGAUUUGGAGUGCCGAACUCCAUAAUCACCGACAACGGCACACAGUUCACCGAGCGAAAGUUCCUGCAGUUCUAUGACAGACACCACAUACGUGUGGACUGGGCGGCAGUGGCUCACCCCAAGACCAAUGGUCAAGUGGAGCGCGCCAAUGGCAUGAUCCUCCAGGGCCUGAAGCCCAGGAUCUUCAACCGCCUGAACAAGUUUGGAAAAAGGUGGCCGUCGUCUGGAGUCUGAGAACCUCCCGAAGCCGAGCCACGGGCUUCACCCCGUUCUUCAUGGUCUAUGGGUCGGAAGCCAUCCUCCCCACUGACCUGGAGUACGGGUCUCCAAGGGUACAAGCCUACGACGCAAAUAGCGGCAAGACGUUCCAAGAAGACGCGUUGGACCAGCUCGAAGAAGCUAGGGACGUAGCCCUCCUGCACUCCGCCAAGUACCAGCAGGCCCUCCGCUGAUACCAUGCGCGGCGGAUCCGAGGCCGAGCCUUUCAAGUCGGCGACUUGGUGCUAAGGCUCAGACAGAACAAUAAGGGUCGUCACAAGUUCACACCCCCCUGGGAAGGACCCUUCGUCAUCGCCGAAGUCCUCCGACCCGGGACCUACAAGCUCGCCAACGAAGCAGGGGAGGUCUUCAAAAACGCAUGGAACAUAGAACAGCUACGUCGCUUUUUCCCUUAGAAACUUUGUAAAAAUUUCUUUGUUCAUCCAUUACCUUCAAGGAAUAAGUCAAAGUUUAAGUUAUCAGAGAGCCUCGGACCUGCCAAGCAGGGUCCGAACCUCCCUCGGGGGCUACAUGGGGGGAACCCCCUAUGUCGACUCCGAAUCUUUUUCUUUUUUCGCGCAAGUUAAAAGAACCCCGACCCAAGGUCUUCCUCCUCCCUCCUAAAAAGACUUAAGAAACCGAAAAUCCGUCCCCUAAAUCUUAAGGCAUGAGCCCGAGGUAGGAUCUGCGCUCACAAGCAAAGACCGCCUCUACUCACCUUAGAUUCGGGAACAAAUUCGGGCUUCCAAGAGUUACUAAGGAAAAAGGAAAAGCACUUAGGCUCGGGGACUCUGGCCAGCGCAAAAACUCUAAGUAGCUCACCCGACCCCGCGCUGCCGAGGUCGGAUCGGCAUAAAGAGAAAGGAAAUAAGAUACUUAGGGAAAAAAGCUCAAAAAGAGCAGUUAUAUUUACAUUCGACAUUAACAUUAUAUAUAUAUAUAUAUUACAAGGCCCACCGGCCUCAACACCCACAAAAAGAGAGGAAACCUAAGGGUCCUGCUGCCCUGUCUACUCAGGUCCUUGAGCCCCAAGGGGCGGAAGCUCCACCUCGUCGUCGAAGAAGGUGGCCAAGGCAUCUCCGGGGGCAGCCACGGCGUCCUCAAGCCUCUGCACCUCCUCCUGGGCCUCAGUCUCAUCAUUCGGAAGAACGUAACCCUCACAGACUGCCGGCAAAUCAAUGCCGGCAUAGUGAGAGCUCACCACCGCCAGGGCUUUCUUCACCCCGGCGUGGAGUGCCUCCCUCAUCCUCUCCCUGGCCCGGGAGUAAAGGGCUUCGACCCGACUCCGCAGCGACGACCCCGACACCGAUACCCCGAGCCCCUCACACGCCGAGGUGACCACGGCUUCAAGAGCCGAGUGGUCUGAAGCCUCGGCGUCAAGGGACCUUUGCAGGGCCUCGGCAGCAGAGGACGCCUCGACCACCUUCCUCUCCAAUUCUGAUCAAAAAACGGAACAAGAAACAAGAAGUCAGGAAAAGCUAACUCAAAAGUACAAAGGAGUCCAAGGUAAAGGGCGCAAGUCUUACCCUCGGCACGCUUCUCGUGCUCCGCCGAGCUCUGAUACCAGUGGGCCACCUGGCUCAGAGCCCCGGCUAGGUCGGUCUGAGUUUGGCUCAAGGCAAGGUCUUUUUAGGCGAGCAAAGCUUCAAGCCGAGCGACCUCACCCUUGUACCCCUCAGCCGCCGCCUUCUGCACCUCGGUUUCCUGGGCGAGGGCCCCAAUCCUCUCCUCCAGGGGGCGACCUUGUCCCGGGCCUCCCGAGCCUCGGUGGCCAGUGCCGAGCACUUCUGCCGAAGCUCGGCAGAAAUCUCGCACUCCUUCGCGAGCUCCCCCUCGGCCGCCUCCCUGGCAGCCCUCUCGUUCUCAAAGGACGCCCAAGCAUCCUUCUCCCAACGGAGAAAUACCGACUUCUCCUGGGAGGUGGCCUUGAGCGCCUGCAAGAUCAGAGGUCACACAGGGAGUUAAUACCGCAAAAGCAAGGACAAAACUACUUUACAACAUGGAUAAAAAUCUUACCUGAGCCAAAUUAAACAUGUCACGGCCCACAAGCUGGGUAGCUCGGUUGAGGGCCUCGACACUGGCGCGCCCACACGCAUCCAGACCCUGCCAGAGGUAAUUCUCUGACAGGUCAUCCAGGACAAAUCUGGCUCCCCCCUCGGCAUCGCCGAGGUUGGGCCAGAUUACGGGACUCUUGCCCCAUCCAGCUUCCUCCUCCCUUCCCGCCGCGGGGGCCUCGGGCGCCGCGCUGGACACCACGAUAGCUCGGCCUUCCUCAGCGCGCGCAGGCCGGGCUGCACCUCUGAGGUCAGCGUCCUCCGGUCCUUGGGGCUUCGGCGCCCCCGUGUCUUGCCCCUGGUGGCGCCCUGCCUCCUCGUAGCCUGGAGGCGGCGGAGACACGGGCCUAGCCGACCCGGGAGUUGACUGAGCCCCCCUCUUCACAGCUUUCAGGGGGGCAGCGCCACCAAAGGCGCCUUUUGCUUACGGCUAGGGGAACAACAUCAAGUUAGAAGAAAGAGAAAAACAAAAAAUCAGCAGAGGAAUCAGAAAUCCUAUACGCACCUCGCUCGGGGAGCAGACUUCUUCUGGGAGCUCGGAGCUCCUAAGGGGCCUCCCGCAGCGCCAGGGGCCGCCGGUCCGACCCCCGCCUCGCCUGCCGACAGCGCAGGAGACACCACGGCGGUCUCAGCCUGCGACGCCUCCACCAAGGCACCAGUUCCCGCCCCGGACGCUAGGGCGGGCUCGGCCAGAGCCUCUGGCACUACCGGUUGAGGUAGCGCCUCGGAUCCGACCUCCAACGCCUUCUCCCCUUCUUGAGGACCCACCGGGCCUGAACCCUCAUGAGCGGCGCUGUCCUCAUCAUCCACAAUGAUGUGGGGGGCAGCCUGUCCGCCCCCCGGCGCUUGGACCCCCUGGGGGGCCUCCGACCCCCCUCGGGCCUUCGACCCCUUCGGGGCCUCGAUUCCCCCGCCGGCUGGAGGGAUAACAUCAUCCUCCUCCGCCAGCUCGUCGAGCCAGUCGGUGCUGUCUCCUCCGCCCUCUAUCUCCGAGACCGAAGUCUCGGGAGACGGAGGCGGGGCGACCCCCGCCUUCUCGGCUUCACGAUGAUUUUUGGCGGAGAUCUCCCGCCGCUGCGCUUUCCGCGCUGCCUUGGCCUUCUUGUCCUCCUUGGCCUUCUUCUGCUCCUCGUUCCGGGCCCGAUUCUUGGCCCGGAUCUCCUUGUCCUCUGGGACAGGGGGCAGGGAAUCCUUGACGACCCCCAUCCUCUGCGAACGAUCAGGAGUCAAGGAAAAGGCAAGAAGGAAACGAAAAGAAGGCGCAAAAAAUCCAUACAUACCAGGGAAAUGUAGCCCUUUUCAGGGUGCAUCGGCACCACCCGGGAAUUCUUCAUCUCUGGGUGCGUCGUCUUCUCGACCCGGGCGGUGAUGUCCGAGGCCGAUAUCGGCUCGGCCAACAUCCUCGUCCCUGCCCAGGGGACCCCCCGGGUCAUCUCGAACAUGGGCACUCGCCGCUGCGCCAGCGGAAGCAAACUCCUCUUGUGGAAGGCAGUUGCCACCGUGGCCGCGGUGACUUCGGCAUCUCGCAAUUUCUGAAGCCCCGCGAGAAGCGGGGCGAGCCUCUUCUGCUCCUCGGCCGGAGCACCCCACGCCCACUUCAUGGGAACCUCCGUCACCAUCUUCCCGGUGUACUUCGGGAGCAAGCCGCCGUCGUUCCGGAGGUAGAACCACCCGCUCUGCCACCCCCGGUUCGACGAAGGCAUCGAGCUCCAUAUGUACAGUCCGGCCCGCUGCUGACGAAGUUGCAGUGUGCAGCCACCGGCCCGCAGGGGGAAUUUCUCCUUCCCCACGUAACGGGCCGACAUCUCUGCCUUGAAGAGGUGAAGCCAGAGAUUCUAGUUGACCGGAACCCCCAGGAACCCCUCGCAAACCGUGGUGAAGACGGCAGCCUGCAUCACCGAGUUUGGGUUCAGGUUGUGUAACUCCACCUCGUAGUGGUGGAGGAUGGCCCUGAUCAGGCGGCCGGCCAGAACCCCGAACCCCCGGUCUAAGAACAACAGGAAGCACACCACAUAGCCCGGUGGCGGGUUUGGCUCCCUGUCGUUCGCCGAGGGAACGAUCCACUCCGGGAACCCGACAUCCUUGAGAGGACGGAGAAUCCCGGCCUUCACGCGCGCCUCCAGCGCGGACUUGGUCACAUUGCUGGGCGGCCACGCCUCGACGCCGGCCAUGGCCUCAGGAGGGAGAGGAGAGUCUGCGCGGUGGAGGUGGAGGGGAUGGCAGCGCAAGGAAGAGCAGGAGGCAAAGGCUUGGUGGUGCAGGAGCGAGAGGAAAGAAAUCAAGCCCCCAGUAGCCGCUUUUAUAGAAGGGGCGAGCCACGACCACGCCCCUGCGAGGAAGGCCAAGCGAGAGAGAGAGAGAGAGAGCAACCGUCGCCCACUCAGGUGAAAAACUCGAAGCGCCAACUCCCUCCGAUUCCCGCGCCCGCCGCACGCGCGCAUUAAUUUCGCAGACGAAACGUCCCAUCCAGCCGGGGCGAGACGGCACGGCCGUUUCGAGUCCCCGCGCGCUGCGCCUCAAAAGAAGCGCCUUGAAAAGUUAUGUCAGGGCGGUUCCUUCCAGGGGACGCGGCGCCCGACCCCCCCCCCCCCCCCCCCCCGCUGACCAAGCGUCGCAGGGAGGUCUCCGUCGAGCGCAAUUUUCCGUCUCGCCCGACCCCAUCAAGACCCCGAGCCGAAGUUGCAAGGUGGUCUCCGUCGAGCGCAGUUCUCCGUCUCGCCCGACCCCCAACACUAUAAAACGAGUCUGAAAAAAGCCUUUCGAGGCCCAAAAUCCCUAGGCCAUGGCCACCUACGUUCCAGAGGUUGCGAGACUGACCUGCGACACAGGUUCGAACAGUCGCCUCAGGAUAACUGAGCGAGGGAUGACUGAAGAUGAGCACAAUAGAGGCCAAGGUCCGAACCCUACAGGGAGUCGGCGCAUCUUUGCAAGUCAUAUCCGAGACCCAUGCGGGUGUCACGAGAGUGGGAUCCCAUCGAGGGAGGCAUCGAGCCCUCGAAACCUAACGAACGGUUCUGACAUCCACCGUGACUGCCCUCGGGUACUUUUUGAGAUGUGCCCAUAAGGCCACUAGUCGACCCCUAUCGAACGGGACUCGGACAUCCACUCGGAUCUACCCGCCUGCAGCUCCCGGGAAGCGUCGUCACUCGCCCACCGAGGGUAGUACGGCACAACCCACCCCUCCUCCGAGCGAAAGGAAGAAUGAGGGAUGAAAUUACAAGACGAUGAAGAACCUGAUCGACCCUUGCGGGGAAAGGACUCGGGGGCUCCCUCGCAACAUGGGAACGGGCACUACGUGUAAAGAACACGCAACCUAUCCCUGGAGACACUCCAGACUUUAGCUGUCAAAGGGUGAAAGCCUUUGAAGGAAUAACACCAUUCCUCCAAAAGGCUCGGGGGCUACACCCGGCGGGUGCGCUCGCGCACACCCCCCGGAGAAAGGUAAAAGCUCCUAGUCAACUACAGUCCCUGGGGAAAGAACCUCUAAAGAGGUGACUUCACCCCUUCAGAGGCUCGGGGGCUACUGUUGGGUACCAUAAUAAGGGAUACCCAAAUCAGAGCAAUAAAAAACACAAAGAAACAUUCUAACCACUAUCAUCAGGGCCUCGGACGCAAGUUCCGACUCGCCCGACCCCUCAGGGCAUCGGACGCAAGUUCUGACUCGCCCGACCCCUCAGGGCAUCGGACGCAAGUUCCGACUCGCCCGACCCCUCAGGGCCUCGGACGCAAGUUCCAACUCGCCCGACCCCGUCCAGGCUCGGGCGCCGGACCCCACUUCGCUUGGGCAGCAAGACUUCCACCGCACGACGCCCGUACCCACGACGUGACAGACGCGACGGCUUCCAUAUCGCGGCAGGGCAAGGCGAUAACUAUUCCAACCACCCUGGUCACUGUGCCCUUACCUCUUUCACUGUGACGUACUGCCUCACAGUAGGAAGGGAAUGGGGGAGGUUAAUCAGCACCACUAUUGGAGGUCACUUCCCAAUACUGACAGCAUGUGCAGCGGUGCCGGCGACCCGACCCCCGCGACUCCAACAGGGCUCGGUAACACUCUACAGGAACAGCCAUACUGCCGACCAUCCCCCAAGGACGAGAUGGACCAGCUCCAACAGGGUCGGAACUGUGGUUUCACCGUUCCAUCCAGGGGAAUUAACUCAUGUAAAUCUUUGUCUCCCCUUUAGACUAUAAAAGGGGAGCCAGGGUUCACAACUAGAAAAAGAUCCAGAAGGCCAAGUUCAUACACACAACACUCUUUCUCAGAGCAGCAAUCCGCACUCUGUCCACCACCAAGCCGAGACCUCGGACUUAGCCCUCUCUCGCAACCCGCUUGUACCCCCUACUACAAGCACCUUUGGGUGCAAGGUUAUACAGAAAUUCUGAUCUCACUGGACGUAGGGCAUUCUUGGCCUGAACCAGUAUAAACCCUCUGUGUCUCACUUGCAUCACCAUCCAAGCUUGGUCAGUCACGCAGACUUAUACUUGUUAGUACCUAGACCGCGAGUCUAGACGCCGACACAUACUAAUUGGCUAUUUAUUUUAUUUAUAUAAUUUUUUUAAAAAAAUAUUUAUUUGAGUUCGGUAAUUAAUAUAUAUAUAUAUAUUAAAAUAUUUUAGUUUUAGUCAUUGUCUUUAUUCACGGUGUUAUAUAGCUAUAUUUUAAAUCCCUUUAUCCAUAAUGAUUUUAUUAUACUAUGAAACUCUCAAUAAGUAGAUAGAUGUGAUCUUCAUAAUCAAGUAGAUAUUCAAAUCCGAAUUUGAGAUCUCCAUUUUGGAUUAGUAUCCAAUAAUAUCGUAUUCAUAUUUGAAUUAAAUGUGGCAAAUAGUAGUAUCUGAAUUUGUAUCUGUCCAGAUCGGAUCCAAAUUUAUCCUUAGCGAGUAUGUCCUCUUGCACCUGUAGUGAGAAUCGGUAUGGAUACUUACAGGCCAAGAUAGUUUUGACGGACUAGAUUGUCUAUCGGUUCGCCAAAUGCUAGCCCAGGAGGAACCACGUCUAGACAAAUGUAUGUUGGUGUGCCCUAGCUCUACCGCCUCCUCACGCCAUAGUGAGUCAGUGAUCCAAUUUUGCAAAUUGUCAAUCUCGCAAUUCGCAUUUGUCACUCUUGGACUCUUUGAGAUGAGUGAGAUUCAAAAUUGAGAGCAAGCCACCUUUGACCACUUGUGCAUAUUGUCAGUCUCGCAAUUCACAUUUAUUACUCCUAGACUCUUGCCUCAAAAAUUUUGUAAUGGUUCGAUUCCACCAGCACAAGGGAAGAGAUCAAUUAGUGGAAGGAAAAAAAGGAGUUGAAAAAUAUUUCGGUUAGAGUUGACCUUUGUGGGUCCUCUAGAGCUGACCUUUGCUUGGUCGCUCGUAGCCCUCUCAAUGAAGAGUAGGACUUGAUAGAGUCUGAACUUUGGUGAAACAAAUAUCGUGUCUCAAUUUGCAUUCAUUAUAUAUUUGCCAUCUAUUUGUGUUGCUUGAGCUUAUGAGCAAGUUGUUGGAAAUAAAAGCAAUUUAGCGAUGCAUAAAUUAAUUCCGACAACAAGAAAAAGGCUAACAACAUGUAUCACAGAUAUAUGAAUCGAAACUAGCACUACGAUUUGAAUCAAGUUCACGGGAUCUAUUGCUAGCAACAGAAAUGAUAUGAAACCGAACAACAGAGAGAGGAUAAACAUCCUUACAGUGGGGGUGUCGGCGCGAAGGAAGAAGAAGAAGAAGACCGUCGAUGGAGAUCGGCGAACACCGAGCGUAGUGGGAAGAAGACGUCUAGCGAGCAGUCGCGACGGCGCUUCCCAAAAACCUGAUACACCCCCUACCUCGUGGAGGGACGCGAGGAGACGUAGACUUCGGAGUCUGCUCUCCCGACACCGAUGGCACGUCGGCGAUGGGAUGGGGAAGACGGUGGCAGCCCAGUAGUGUGGCGAGGAAGAGAUGAAUCUCUCGGUACAAAGGAUGAUGUCUCGCCCCAUAUUUAUACACGCAUCGCACGUAGCAAAUAGGCAAGCAAUCAAUCACCGUAUUAUGGAAACUUUACCUGCCGUUUACGCACUUGCCAUAAUACAAGAAUAAUUGCUUACCAAAUAGGCCAGCGCAAUCUCCUCCAUGCAUGCAAAACUUCCAAGUAGCCGCAAGGGUCGAGGCGAGGCGAGCGAGCGCUCGCGCGUGUGGUUCUUCAUUUUUCUCUCUCCAAUUGCUUCAACAAGAUGGAGAUAGCUCAACUUUUUAAGUUGGCCUCACUCCACUUGAAGUAGCAAGGUGGGACUAAAGUCCCCCACCUUUCCAUAUAUACAUGCAUGUAUGAGCGGACCUUUGGGAUUUAUUUGGAAUUGUUUGGCCCAAGGCCCAAAACAUCUAACAAUCCCCCACCACAUCCAAGGGCACGCGAGUCAUACUCCCUGUACCACAGUACUGUUAAUAUACCAGCUUAUUCAGUGAAGACUGGUUAAGGUUGAACAUCCACCUAGAACAACAAGAUAGACCCAUCCGCAACUGCACAAUGGACUAGGCCUUGGCAGUUUGGUGCGAAUAGGCUUCACUCGAAGUCUUGAUUGGUACUAGGCUGCCAUAGCCAACCCCGCGAGUGGAGCGUAUAAGUCAUACUCCUAACUCACUUCAUGAGCCUAUUAAAGAAUACCCGAUUCUUAUAAAUUGUGACUAACAGUUGGGCUCACAUAGGUGUGUUCUUACAAGAAUCUCUGUAGGACAGUAUCUUGCUAUAAAGCCUCAAAACACAUUAAGACAAAGUCAAGCUGUCUUACAGAAAUGAGAGUACUGCAUCUCCAAUGGAGUGGGUCAAAUGAAACGAUUGUACUCUCCCAUUAACCAACAACUUAUUCUUCCCAGGUCCUAAUUCACGGGAUCUCCGAUCACAUAGGUUGGGUUACUGCUGAGGUUAACUCACAUGGGUCUCAAUUCCAUCUCCUUCGAUGCAUUGUCAAUCAUGGUGCUUGAUAGUCCCUUUGUAAAGGGAUCUGCCAGGUUUUUAGCUAUUUGGAUGUAGUCCACAGCUAUUACUCCGGAGCUUCUUAAUUUCCUGACAGACUUCAGUCUACGCUUUAUAUGUUUGCUGGACUUUUUCCCAUUAUCCUCACUAUUCUUCACCUUUGUGAUCACUGUUUGAUUAUCACAGUUUAUGAGAAUAGCAGGAAUUGGUUUCUCAACCAACGGCAAGUCCAUCAACAUAUCUCUUAGCCACUCAUCCUCAGUAGAGGCUGUAUCCAGAGUUGUAAGCUUUGCCUCCAUUAUGGACUUUGUAAGUAUUGUCUGCUUACAAGACCUCCAAGAGACAGCACCACCACCCAGAGUGAAUAUGUAUCCACUAGUGGCCUUAAGCUCAUCAGCUUCUGAAAUCCAGUUUGAAUCACUAUAUCCUUCAAGUAUCCCUGGGUACCCUGAAUAGUGAAUUACAUAACUCAUUGUACCUUUUAGGUAACGCAUUACCCGAUCAAUACCACGCCAAUGAUCACUUCCUAGAUUAAAGGAAAAUCUACUCAACUUGCUUACAGCAAAUGAGAUUUCAGGGUGGGUUGCGCUAGCUAGACACAUCAAUGAGCCAAUAAUUUGAGAGUAUCUUAGAUGGUCCUUUCCUAGCCUUUUAUUCUUUCGAAGUAUUAGACUAGGAUCAUAGGGUGUUGGAGAAGGUUUGCAAUCCAUAUAACUGAAACGGUUCAAAACUUUUUCCACAAAAUGAGGCUGCAAAUAAACAUCAGGCGCUCGGGAAUAAAGGAGUAUCUUGUGUUUGUAUUACCGUUAGAACUUAUAAAAUGUGUGUAUUACCGUUAUGGUGGGGGCAAAGGAGUAAUCUUGUGUUUGUAUGUUGACGACAUACUGAUUUUUGGGACGAGCAUCGAUGAGAUUAAUGAUGUUAAAACAUUCUUAUCCCAAAAUUUUGACAUGAAAGAUUUAGGAGAAGCCGAUGUGAUCCUCAAUAUUAAACUUAAUAAACAUCAGGCGCUCAUGAAUAAAUUCAUUAGACGAACUCAGUAAAGAAUAAGCAACAUUCAUUGGGAAAAUAUUCUCAAAGAAAAUAACAUCCCAUGACUCCAACAGUGUAUCAACUAAAACAUCAGGCGCUUCAGAUUUUAUCACUAAAAACUUAUAAGACGUGCUAUGGUGUGCAUAACCCAAAAAGAUACAAUCAACGGUCUUUAGUCCAAGCUUGCAUUUCUUAUUAAUUGGUACGCUGACUAUGGCCAAACAGCUCCAUGUACGCAAGUAAUGGAGUGAUGGUUUCCUUCCUUUCCAUCCUUCAUACGGAGUAACUUCACUAUUCUUAGUUGGAACUCUAUUUAGAACAUGACAUGCUGUUAAAACAGCCUCCCCCACUAUGCUUUAGCCAUACCGGAUGUUCCUAACAUGGCAUUCACCAAGUCUAUUAACGUCCAGUUCUUUCUUUCGGCAACCCCAUUAGAUUGGGACGAAUAUGGUGGUGUCCGUUCAUGAAUUAUUCCAUUCUCCGCACAGAAAAGAUCAAACUCAUUGGAAUAAUACUCCCCACCACGAUCAAACCUAACACGCUUGAUUUUCUUUUCUAAUUGGUUCUCUACCUCAGCCUUAUAAGUCUUCAAACAUUCAAAUGCCUCAUCUUUAGUUUUUAGAAGAAACACAUAGCAAUAUUUAGUUGCAUCAUCAAUUAAAGUCAUAAAGUAUCUUUUUCCUCCUUUUGUCAACACACCAUUCAUUUCACAAAUGUCAGAAUGUAUGAGCUCUAGUAAUGUCGUGCACCUCUCGUCUACAGCCUUGUGAGGCUUACGAGGUUGCUUCGCUUGCACACAUGCUUGACAUUUAGAGCCUUUGACAAUAGAAAAGUUCGGAAUUAAACUCAUACUAGAUAAACGCGUCAUACAACCAAAAUUAAUGUGCCACAAACGUGAAUGCCAUAUAUCAGCCACUGAAUUGUUUGAAUCACACACAUGGUUCACAACUUUAUUACAGAAAUCGGAGAGUGAAAAGCAGAACAAGCCUCCGCUCUCAUAGCCUUUGCCAAUGAAUUGGCCAUACCUCGAGACGACUACUUUAUUUGACUCAAACACCAGCUUGAACCCAUCUCGACACAAGAGGGAUCCACUAACGAGGUUCUUCUUUAUUGAGGGCGCAUGCUGCACGUUCUUGAGCCGCACGAUCUUUCCCGAAGUGAACUUCAGAUCGACCGAACCAACACCAAGAACAGAAGCAUGCGAGCCGUUCCCCAUCAUGACAGUUGAAGCUCGUGCGAUCUGGUAAGAUGAAAACAUAGAAAUAUUAGUACAAACAUGAAUAUUGGCUCCUGUAUCAAUCCACCAAUCAUUAGAUUGAAAUACAGAAAAUGCACUAGGUAAAUAAUUACCGUACCCAGAUCCACUAGGAUCGCCAAUAGUCACGUUGGUAGAUUUCUGCCCCUGCUGAUUCUUCCUGCCUUUGCGGUUCUUGCACUUCUUGGCGAAGUGUCCAUUCUCACCGCAAACGAAGCACACAACUUCAUCCAUGUUCAUCUUCUUCUUCUUGAACGGAGUAGUCUGAAUAGUCUUCUGCUUGUUCUAGCUAGCAUGUUGCAUCACAUUGGCACUAGACUGUUCUGAGGCUUUUGGUGGAGCAUCCUUUGCCCGAGCCUUCUCUUCAACAUCAAGACCAGCCAACAUGAGAUCUUCUGUCUUUUAUGUUUCAGAGCUAUGGCGAAGUUUCUCCAUGACGGAGGCAACUUGGCAAUUAUACCACCAGCCACAAACUUGUCUAGCAAGACGUGUCCGAGUUGUUCAAGUUCCCUCACAAUAAGUUGGAACUCAUGAGCCUGUUCCACGACUGAAUGGUUUUCAACCAUUUUGAAGUCGUGGUACUUCUCCAUCACAUACAACUUGUGCCCAGUGUCUGCAGCACCGAACUUAUGUUCAAGUGCCUCCCACAGUUCAGCAGCACUUUUGAUGUUCAUGUAAACAUCACACAACUGGUCAGAGAGAACGCUAAGAACACAUCCGACGAAAAUCGUCGUAGCCGCACUAAACUCCUGCACCUCUUUCUCAGAUCUGAGAGGUAGUACGGGAGGAUUACCCACGACCCAAAACACGCCCAUAGUCGUGAGCCACAACUGGGCCCUCGUCUGGCAUCUCUUGAAAUUCACACCACUGAACUUCUCAAGUUUCAUCGCAUCAGUAUAUCCCUUAGUCAUCGCUAAAUGCCUAUCAGGUUUUUGGAUUGUUGGAAAUAAAAGCAAUUUAGCGAUGCAUAAAUUAAUUCUGACAACAAGAAAAAGGCUAACAACAUGUAUCAGAGAUAUAUGAAUCGAAACUAGCACUACGAUUUGAAUCAAGUUCACGGGAUCUAGUGCUAGCAACAGAAAUGAUAUAAAACCGAACAACAGAGAGAGGAUAGACAUCCUUACAGUGGGGGUGUCGGUGCGAAGGAAGAAGAAGAAGACCGUCGAUGGAGAUCGGCGAACACCGGGCGUAGUGGGAAGAAGACGUCCAGCGAGCAGUCGCGACAGCGCUUCCUAAAAACCUGAUACGCCCCCUACCCCGUGCAGGGACGCGAGGAGAUGUAGGCUUCGGAGCCUGCUCUCCCGACACCGAUGGCACGUCGGCGAUGGGAUGGGGAAGACAGCGGCAGCGUAGUAGUGUGGCGAGGAAGAGAUGAAUCUCUUGAUACAAAGUACGACGUCUCGCCCCAUAUUUAUACACGCGUCGCACGUAGCAAAUAGGCAAGCAAUCAAUCACCGUAUUAUGGAAACUUUACCUGCCGUUUACGCAUUUGCCAUAAUACAAGAAUAAUUCCUUACCAAAUAGGCCAGCGCAAUCUCCUCCAUGCAUGCAAAACUUCCAAGUAGCAAAAGGAAGCCACGCCCCCGCAAGGAUUGAAGCGGGAAAUCGCCGGACCAUUCACGCGCAUGUCGUGCAUGCGCGCCCAUUGGCCUCGCUCGGCGAGGCGAGGCAAGCGAGCGAGCGCGCGUGUGGUUCUUCCUUUUCCUCUCUCCAAUUGCUUCAACAAGAUGGAGAUAGCUCAACUUUUUAAGUUGGCCUCACUCCACUUGAAGUAGCAAGGUGGGACUAAAGUCCCCCACCUUUCCAUAUAUACAUGCAUGUAUGAGUGGGCCUUUGGGAUUUAUUUGGAAUUGUUUGGCUCAAGGCCCAAAACAUCUAACACAAGUUACUAGUAAGUGUACCUACAACUUGGUGAGAAAGAAGAAAUGAAAAGGAGCAAGUUGGGAGCUAGCUGACAGGUCUCGUGAAUGUUGGACAUCUUCGGUAUCUAUACUAGACAUGUCUCGUAUUAGCGCUCAGUGUAGAUUCUAUUUGUAUAUUGCACUAAUCUUUGUUUUACAGGAUUGUUGGUCCUAGGCUUGUUUAGUAUAUUUCAUUUACUCUGUGGUUGGCUCUUGAGGGGUUUAUUUCUCUAAUUUGAAAUUUCCUAAUUAUUAGAAAUUCCUACACUAAUCGUUUCCGCAUUUGAAGGUGUUAAUUUUUAGAAACGCUUAUUCACCCCCCCCCCCUCUAGGCAGCAUCCUUGGUCUUUUCACUUCACUUCUAUUUUGGGACCGAUGGAGUAAAGGAUAAACAAAUGAAUUGGUUCAAAACUAAUACAACUAACAUUCCCGACAACAAUGCCAUAAAUCUUGUUGACACUUUAUGUGGCAAAUAGAUAAAUAUGCAAACACACAUAGAUGUUGAUGCAACUUUCACUCAAGAGUAUUCCAAGGCAUCAAUUUCUAUGGGGAAAGUACUAAGAAUCAAGAUCAUCCUAUAAUAGCAACAAGGGCAAAUAUAUGAAUGGAUAGAAAUGAUAUCUAUGGCUUCUAAGACACUUUCAAGAGGUGUAGAUUGUACUAAGGUUGUUCACUUUGAGACAUGACUAAAACUAGUAGUGGAAAGAGAUGAGAUGGGUACGAUGUUAUGCUACAAUGAGCCUUAUGUUUAAGAACUAGCCCUAACAUGGUGGAUUAUGUUGGCUACUGUUGAUAGUAAGAAUAACACAUUUUUCCACCAUGAAAGCAUCAUGAAUAGGCAUUAAGAUAAAAGGAAAUGAGCAUUGCAUUAGCAUAUUUUAUUCAAAAAGAAGAUCCACAUGUACAUGGAGUAAAAUGAAGCUAAGUGGGGUUGGUCGACCCCUGGUGGGCUCAACUACCCUCAAUCCUAGUGAAAAUCAAGAAAACACAUUCCUAAGCUCUCUAGACCAUUAGAUGCAAAAUGUGUUUCUUGUGAAGGGCAUUGGUGCAAUAGGAUUGGAUGGCCCACAUGACCAAGGAUUCAAACACUCAAGUGACCCACACACCAGCCUACACCUAUAUGAAUAAUAAAAUCUAUCUCAAUUUCUAAACACUAGCCCAACACUCUCAUGAUUCACACUCAUCGACACACAUUCGACUCUUCCCUCCCAUCUUGAGUUUUUUCAUCGCCCGUGAUUCCUCCUCUUCGACAACACUUAUCCCGUCAGACCCACUAUUCCUUUUGACAUCCCUGCUCUCCAGCAAUCUCCCUUACGCACUCUACACCAUGACAGCUACCCUCCCCUCCCUUGUUGACUUCACUAGAGUUGGCGGUGGUGGCCUGGCAGUGCCGGGCAUGACCUUGACAUUCUUAGGAGUGACAAAAGUGGUGGCAGUCCGAUAAGGCCAAAGCAUGGCCCUGACCUUCUCGGGGUAGCCUGGUAGUGGUGCAUAGCCUCGACCAUCUCUCAUAGCGGUAGCGUGAGGUGUAAGGCCUGGUAGCUCAGUGGGCUCAAUGGGUCAUCAAAUUAGCCCAAAAUGAUUAAGCUAGCUUAGUGUUAUGCCUAGGCCAAAGGCACAACCCAUGGAUAGGCACAACAAAGCAUGUGUUAUGCCUUCAUCGGACCUAUGUCGUGUCGGGCCAAGCGGUCCGUUUGGCCAUCUAUAGUUGUGUUAUAUGCAUAAUCAUUCCUAAAAUAAAUUGAUCAUGAAGUCCUUUUAACCUCCAAAUGUGAUGAUUUAAAGGCAUGUUUGGUUUCCUACCUUAGUUGGAGCCUGGCUAGGAUUGGAGCCUAGUUAGGCUAGACCUGUCCCCAGCAAGCCAACAUAAGUUUUGUUUGGUUGGACUGUUAUCCCUAGUCUAGUUUUCAUAAGAUUUUGUUUGGUUGUUUGUUUUGCCUUGCAUAAAAUCACCACAUAUUUAGCUUGGUAGGGUUACCCUCUUUAAAGUAUUCUGUUGAACAGGUGGUGAGCUCCAUUGUUGUGAUGUUUAUCUACUCUUUGCUGAUGAGGACCUCUGUCACACCCAUACCCAAGAUAGCCCUAAGCACCUCGCGCUGCUCCUCUUCGCCCCCUCACCGCUCUGAGGUCUUGAGCAUCACGACCACGAGCGCUUGCACUGAGCCCAUGCUGCAGAUGUCCAACACCUGUGCUGAGCCUGUGCUGUGGAUGCCACGCGGACCUAGCCUUUAGAGGCGGCAUCACCAUGGAAGUGUCGGACAUGAACAUGAAGGGACCUAUGCUCGUCGGUCCCAAUGCAACCAGAAUAUUGAGCCUCGGAGCAAGGAUACGUGGCUUCAGCAGGAACAGGGUUGAUGGAGGUUGGACCUCACGCAGAGAAGAAGGCCAUCGUGGGGCAUCCACUGAUGUCGAGCAGCAUGGUGUUGAAGGAUAUGGUGGUGGAUGCGGCAUACGGCGUGUAGUGCUUGUGCUUAGCCCCGUCUGCAAUGACGACAUGCACCAUGGCGGAUCCAUAGUCCUAGAGCAUCUUGGAGUAACCCACUUGGUUAGGGUUGACAAGCACAACGCCUGCCACGUUGGCAUCCAGUAAGAUGCGGAUGAUGCCCUGUUAGUGUCCAUCAAGGCGAUCUUGCCUAAGCACCUCCUUGUCCUCCAGUGCCUCUGCUCUUUUCGUUGGGCACGCUGCCAGUCCCUACAACAUGCGAGGCCACUGCCGCAGGGCCCUGCCUGAGUUCACAGGUGGGAGGAGCACCAGAGGAGGUGCACAUGCGGGCCGCCAGAGUUCAAGCAAAUGUGGAGCUUGCCGUCAGUGACUUCGGAGGGGUGAGCGCGAGUGACAUGGGAGGUGUGGAGAAUGGGCACCGGUGCUAAGCCAAGCCCUAACUCCCAAAAAAUGACCACCCCAUGUGUUUUUUUUAGCCUAGCUAGAGGGUGGUUGGUGGCUUCGUGGAGUGUGGUUUUAGACUCUAAACAGGCAAACACACAACCUGAACGUGCUGCCAACCAAACAGGUUCAAACUGUUUCUUAAUUGACAUAACACCAGGAACAUUGUCAGGAUGUCCUUUAUAUACCUUGGUCACUUUUGCAUGACAACAAUACUCAACGCUAGGAUGGUGAACCUAAAGUUCUUCUAGUUUCCAGUAAACCCUAAGCCAGCACCCUAAAAAAGUCGUCGAGUAUUGCAGGCGAAAAAAGUGACUUAGGGGUCGUUCAGUUGGGGCAUUAGGACGCCAACAAUUAAUUCGGCCAAGGAAAACUUCUAUAAAUUAAGUAAAGAUACUGGUCCGGACUUUUUUUCCUAGGCUCAUUCCCGGUCAAACGAAUGGGGCCUUAAAGUGUCGAGCAGAUCCCUAGGCGGAACAAAGUUGGAUCACGAUUUCAGUCCUGUUUACUUGAGCUUAUUUGUCGAAUCUGUCCGUUAUUCAACAGCGUCUUUCUCUCAUAUCAAAUCAGCGAACAACCAUAACUUUUUUUUAGAGUUCAACAACCAUAACUUUUCUGCCGAACAAGCCUUCGUCUUCAGUUUCUUGGCUAAAAAAUGUAGAGGACGUACUACAAGCUAGCGAUUCUAUUGGACGUCCGUUGCCGGCUGAUCCCACGGGCCCAAGACCCGCGCAGUCACGCCGUGCGGGAUACCAUGGAGCAUGGACUACGGCCUCGUGUGCGUGCGUGGGAUGCCGAUCCCAUCACGUUGCCGUAAGCUCUGUAGCCUUGCCUUGAUCCCGGGCUGGCGGCCCAGCCAACCACCAUAUUUAAGCGAACCGUCGCAGGGGCUAGCACGGCGAUGUGUGUGCCAGUGCCACCCACCCACUUACGACUGCGCGCACUUGAAUCGCACGUCCGCCGCGUCCAAAUCGGCCGCGCCACCGCCUGCCGUGCUGCAGUGGCGACGACGGACGCCGCCGCCGCGCGCGGGCGCGGCAGCUAGAGGACGUGCCACCUGCACCUGCCUGUCACAAUCACAACAGCCUCACACAGGUCGGUUUCUUCUUGACAGGCGCGCGCCGGCCUGGGCCGCCGCCGUUGCUACCGAUGAACGACAGCGACGGGACAGAUUGAGGGCAAGAAAGCCGAACAACCAAUCUACCGGUGCUCCAGCAAUAGCAUCACCCGGAAAAGGAAUCAGGGGGGCCAUCAGGCCAUGAACACACACACACACACAUGCAUCACACAGCUUUUUACCAGAACUUGUUUUUUUUCUUUCCAUUUAUAAUCGAAAUGAAUGUUCAUUGAAGGCUUUACAUUAAUGGAGAGAAGUCAAUACCCGAACCAUUCAUCCUCUGCUGCGGCACCAACGACAAUGGCGACAUGACAAGGAUGGGCAUGCAAGUUUUACUCCAAGGGAAAAGGAAGAAGCAACUGUGGUGGUGGCGAGGAGAAAAAAUGGCUGCAGCGAGAGGAAAGGGACAAGGUAGCAUGGUGCGUUCUUGACUCCCUCAGUCUUAUAAACCCUUCGAUGGAUCUUUGGCGCACGAACGAAUGCCUAAGGAAGAAACAAGGGGAAAAAAAAGGGAAAACUUGGCGAAUCCUGCGAAUUUUAAGCAAAGGAAAACGACACUGAAUCUAAAGGAAGAAAAGCUGUUAUGGUGGUGGUGGUGGUGGUGGUGGUGAUGGAUCAUGGAUGCUAGGUUGAUGGAGAGUGAGAGAGUUGCGUCAGCUUCGGGAGCAGCGGCAGGUGGACUCCAUGAAUGCGAGCAUUCAACGGGCCAACCAACUCUCCUCAGUCACUAUGGCGGCGGAGGGUGGCUGGCGGGAGUGAGGCGAGGCGGCGGCGGCGGCGGGACGAGUCGAUCAAGGGCCGGCGCAGUUGAGCGCGGCCUUGAUCUGCUGGACGGUGGUGCCGAUGAGGCUGUUGACGGUGGCGACGGACUCGGCGUUGAGCCUGGACGACGGCAGGUUGCUGACGAGGAUCUGGAACGCGACGGUGACCACGCAGCCCGGCUGCGACGCGAGCGGGAGGACGACGCUGCUGGACGCGCCCGCGCCGGACCCCGGGCGUCCGUCGGGGAGGAUGGCGAAGCCCGACGGCAGGAGCGGGAUGCCCGACGGGUCCUCGCCGCUCAUCACCACGUUCGCCGCCGGGAUGUCGAUCGGCGAGUACACCACCAGCGCCCCCGACGCGUCCGUGCAGCUCUCCUGGAGGAUCAGCAUGCUGUUCUGGUUCGCGUUGAGCCCCUGCAUCAUGCGACGUCGCGCACCAUCAUCGUUCAUCAUCACCACCAUCGUCACUCAAAGAUCGUCAACGACAGACACAGACACGUCGUCGUCGAGGGCCGGGCCGGGGAUUAAUUCAACAAGCACAGCAUAACAUAAUGCGCGUUUAAUGGACGACGGAGGAGGAGCAAGAAAUGAUUGAUUGAUUGAUUACUCACUCUCAGCAGGGAGAUGCAGUUGCCGGGGUUGGAGCCGUUGGGGAUGCGCGACACCUCCUGAACCUGAUUGCCGUGCGACAGGACGUCCCACUGCGCCCGGCCACAGCAAUGGCAAUGGCAGCAAACCAUUCAAGGCGUGAGCUAGCGUUAAAUGACGAGCGCGAUGCGAUGCGAUGCAUGCGGCCGCGGGUGCCGGGUGGUGGGGGUGUGGGUGUCGUGCCGUGCCGUGCCUACCUGGGAGCGCGCGUUCUCGUCGCGGACGAAGGCGAACACGUGGUCGCCGGGGACGGGCAGCCAGAUGGAGGUGGCGGCGCUGAGGACGACGCCGUUGGGCUGGCCGCCGGAGUCGGUGCUGCGGUGCGUGGACACUCGGACGCUCACGUCCGUGGUGCCGGAGAGCAGCGUCCACCGCUGCAGCGGCGACGAGCUCAGGCUCGCGCAGAAGCUGCCCACCAUCCGCUGCGACAGCUUCAUCAUGCUCCGCUUCCCCUCCGGCGUCACUGCCAAUCGAAAAGAAACCAGGAAGAACGCUCACAUUUUCUAAUAGAUAAUUCUAUCCACAGAAGUGCGGCUAGCACCGGUGCGGUGCGCGGUAUUACCUCCGGCGAUGUCGUGGUGCGGCACGCCGAGGGUGGCCACGGACGCGAACCGCUCGCACGCACGCUGCAGCGCGGCGAGCCAGCGGUGCGCCCCGAACGCGGCGCCGCUCAGCACGAGGUUGCGGUAGAGGACGUUGAUCGGGAGCAUCUGCUCGAUCUCCAUGUGUUCGACCCAGGUCACCUGCAGCACACAUGACAUGAACGUGUCAGGUCAGGUCAGGGGCACCAACCAUUCUAGUGUAGCACAGCACAGGGCAAUGCACGUGCGCGUGGAGCACAGGCUGCUAUGCUAGCUGCACAGGGGCAUGAGCUGGCCGUCUCGUCGCGCGCGUCGAUCACCUUGGAGUAGCCAUUUGACAUGUCGGCGAUGAGGCACCCCGACGGCAUGCGACGGGAGCGGGACGGCAUGCCGUAGUGGGCGUCGCGCUGCCCGUCCAGGGAGACGUCGGCGAUGGCCCACAGACCUUGCUCGAUCUGCUUGCAGUAGCGGAGGAAGCUCAGCUCGCGAGUCGGGACGACCGGCGUCAUGAUGUGCAGCUCCUCGUACAUCUGCGCGACGGCAAGACGCCAUUAGAAUGAUCACACGAGGAGAAGGCAGCAUUGUUUCCAAUGCAGAGAGAUUCGAGGGCAUUACCAUGAUCAAGGACUCGCUCCUCCCGCCCAAGCCGUUCACGAGGACAUCGACGGUCUGCGCCUUGGACACGAUGCCGGGGAAGAACUCCAUCCACUUGUUCUGCAACAACAACAGCAUCGAUCAACCACCAUCUCCAUGUACGCGAGCGCUGGUAGAGGAAGGGAAAGGAAUGUGUACGUACGGUGUCCAUGAAGACGUCGACGAGCGCGACGGCGCUCAUGAAGACGAGGCCCGAGUCCCUGGACCCCUCGACGUUCAUGUCCGGCGGGCGGAACGCGACGCCGGGCUUGGAGAAGAGGCUGUCGUAGGUGGCGACGUUGAGCAUCUCCCUGGCGUCCCCGGGCAUGCCCUUGACCCAGAUUUGGUCGCCGGCCUGGGCGAGCCGGAUGAGCUCGUCCAUGGCGCGCGUCGCCAUGUCCACCAUCAUGGGGCGCUCCAUCUCCGUCACGGGCGCCGGCAUCUGGUACGGCAUCCCGGACGAGCAGCCGCUGAGGAGGUCGAGGUCCAGCGACGGCGGCCCGCCGAGGUGGCCCUGCUGCCCGGGCAUCCCGCCCAUGGACAGGUCCAGCGACGACAUGGACAUGGUCGGCACCGGCGGCAUCUGCGUGAACGGCCGGCCGAGGUACUUGGACGUGAUGCUCGACACCCGGUCCAGCUGCAGGUCGGCAGGCGGCAGGCAUCAUUCAGAGACGUACAGUACAGAAACACACGGAGAGUGAAACGGACAGACCAGACCGGCGAGGACGUCGCCGCCGGAAACAGCGCGUCGUGGUUGGUCAACUCAUGAUUUACCUCUUCUUUCAGGCGGGCGUUCUCCAUGCGCAGCUUCUGCUCGUCGAAGAAGUCCUCGGCGACCGGCGGGCCGCCGCAGUUGGGGCAGAUGACGUUCUUGAGCGCCUCGCGCAUGGUGAUGUUCUCGCACCGGAUCUUGUCGUUCUCCGCGCGGAGGAAGCAGUUGUCCGCGCGCUCGUGCUGCGCCUGCAACGAACUCUCGCACAAGGAGCGUCGUCAUCCAUCAAGAACCCGUGGAAAAAACAAGCCGACAGAAGGUCGGAAUGAAACACGGCGACCUCGUGAACGAAAGGAAAAAAAAAAUCAAAGGAACUGGGAGACUUGUUGGUACCUUCAUCUGGGUGCGGCGGUUCUGGAACCAGAACUUGAUCUGGCGUGGCUCCAGGCCGAGCUCCCGGCUGAGCGCGGCGCGCUGGUUCUCGUCGGGGUGCGGGCACUCCUUGAACAUCCUGCAGUCACCGGCGAACACGCACCAUUACAUUCCUUCCCGUCAAUCGUCAAGACGACGACGGCCGGCCGCCGGACGCCAUCCAUCAACGUUUGAAGAAACAGCAAAAGAAAUGGAAACAAAACGAAACAAGAGAGUGGAGGAUCGUACGCUUCGAGCUGCUGAAUCUGGCGCGGGGUGUGGCGGUGGUAGCGCUUCCGCUGGCGCUGGCUGUCGGAGCCCUCAGGUUCGUCGCCGAAAUCCAUUGCCGCCGGAGGCUAGCUAGCGACCCACCUACUACUACUACUACCAACCUUCUCUUCUCCCUCUUGCUCGCUCUCCCUCCUCGCUCUACAGGUGUAGGCGAAGGAGGAGGAGGAGGAGAGAUCUCUGUGCUGUGCUGCUGCAGUAGUGCCUUGGGUGGCCUGGCCCCCUGCUCCUAUUUAUACACGACGAUGAGCAGGCCGGGCAAGACAGCGCCGGGGUGGUGGCCGCCUUCCAACUCGAGACGAGCGAUGCAGAAGCAGAAUAGGAAGGGUCUCGUGAAACCUUGGAUCCAGCCAUGCCUCACGCCAUUUCCCCCCCACCUCCGCUAGCUUCCACCUGGUUUCCUUUCCUUGCUAGCGCUUGCGCUUAUCCCUCUCCCUCCCCUUCCGGCCAGCCCGUCUCUCUCUUUCUAUCUCUAUCCCUAUUCCACGGCGACAGUUACACUUGCUGAUGCUGGCGCUCGCCGUCUCUCUCUCUCUCUCUCCUCCGGUCUUCGCCGGCCCGCUCCUUGGUCUAUGAACUGCUGCUGCCUGCCAAUCUUUCUUCCUGCUCUGGCAGGGAGAGGGAGGGAGAGGGGUGGUGCGAGGAAGCAGGAGCAGUAGUAACCGGUGCGAGCGAAUUAAGGGCCGAGGUUUUUAAGCAGGGCAGGGCGCCCGGCGAGGCCAUGACUACUCCCUUUCUCUCUCUACAGUCCCUCUGUUGGGUUUGGAUGGGAACAGCUGGAGCCAUUUAAGGCCAAACGGGUCGGGUCUGCAUGCUGCAUUUCCUCAUCAGAUUCUCCCCCCUCCCACUCCACCCGCAGGCCUCUCCACGGCUGAAUAAAUGGUAUAUUCGUUUUAUUAUUUUAUUUUUCUAUUUUUUUUCGAAUAAAUAUUUGACAACUUGUUUACAUGGAUUGUCUGCUCCAAUUCUUACUGAAUUUGGAGCUCACACCGAUAAAUCAUAAGACAUAAGUAGGUUAAUUUAGGGUAAUGCAUUUUUUUUUGUUCGUGCGGGCACGUAAUCCUAUAACGUAAAUUUGCAAAUCCGUGCAAUAUUUAGAUCUUGUAACGUAAAUUUGCACGUUCAGUUCUUAUCCGUGUCGGCAUCAAAUCCUAUAACGUAAAUUUGCAUGUAUUAUAUGAAAAUUCAAUAUGUUGUAACGUAAAUUUACAAUUUCGUGUAAUAUUUAGAUCUUGUAACGCAAAUUUGCACGUUUUGUUUUUAUCUAUGUCGGCAUCUAAUUUUUAGAUCCUGUAACGCAAAUUUGCGCGUAUUGCUUUUAUUCGUGUCGGCAUCUAAUCAUGUAACGUAAAUUUGCACGUAUUGUAUAGAAAUUUAAUCCUAUAAUGUAAAUUUGCAUAUUUGUGUAACGUUUAGAUCUUGUAACGUAAAUUUGCACGUAUUUUUUUUAUCCAUGUGGGUACAUAAUUCUAUAACGUAAAUUUGCAUGUAUUAUCUAGAAGCUUAAUUCUAUAACGUAAAUUUGGACAUACUAUUUUCAAUCUAUGCAUAUACCUAAAAUGCUAGUAACGUAAAUGUACACAUAUUAUUCUGUUAUCUGGAUGUCUAGUACUAUAACGUUAAUUUGCAUGUAGCAUGUAGUGCUUAUUUCUUAUUAAGAGAAUCAAGUUUUCAAAACUCAAACGCGUGAAUCAGAGGAUGGAUAUGCUAAAUGUUUUGUUAUCAUGUUUUCAUUCUUUCAUUCGAGCGGGAAAUGUACAUUUGAAGCAAGUAGUUCUUUGCAUUUACUAAUAUGACAAGAACUCUGUGUGAAUUAGAUUAUGGAUGCAUGAUUGAAAUGCUCCAUCAUUCUCAUGUAUUUUCCAUUCAAUCAAAUUUUCAUAACAUAAAUUUGAAGCAUGCAAUGGCUCAUACUUGCUAAUAGAUUUCGGUUAACAAAUUGUUUAUCCAAGUUUAUUUAGGGUUGGGCAGUAUUUUAUAAUAUGAAUUUGAUGCAUCAUACUUCAACUUAGUAAACUCUGUUGUGAAUUUUGUAACUAGUUAUCAAAAUGCUCCAUUAAUGUUUGCAUGUUUAUCAUCAAGAUAAUUGAUAUUUUUUAUUGUGUGCUCUUCGUUUGAGAGAAAUUUGUAUGAAUUUGACUAUAUGCUCUCUUUGAGAGAAUUUCGUAUUGAUUUCAAAAUUUUGGAGCUUAAUACUAAUGGAAAUACUUUUUGAACUACGUGAUGGAUGGUCAAUAAGUUUUGCUAAUGAUUUUGUAUUAAUUCUGUGUUCAUGGUGCAUGGUUGAUAUUUUGUACUAUAAAGUUUGCAUCACUUGGAUAACAUGUGAGGUUCCAUUUGUGUUCAUACAUACACCUUGGAAUACAUAACAUGGGGAUUAGAGAUGCAUUGCUAAAAUUAACAUCAUAGUUAUUUACAUUACACCCACAUGUUUAUUCCUAUUAGUGUUACCAACUACCAUGUAAACUCAUAAUAUGGUGUGAAUCGAUGAAAGAACUAGAGAUAUGAUAUUGACAACAAACUCCAUUAGUUUCCACCUCUAUUCUACUUGAACUGAGGCUCUUCAAGUAAUUUAUAGUCCUAUAAUCACUCAGAGCUUUUCUUGCAUGUGAUCAAAACUAGAGAAAUGAUUACUAGAACAAUGCAUUAUUGUUAUUGUGUUUCUAUUUGCAUAGUUAUUUCAAGUAGCAAUUCAUCUUGGUAAUUUAAAGUUCUACCUUUUUAUUUAUGAUGUUAUUUAAGUAACUCAAGUUUGAAAUUCAUAACAAUGAGCCAUAACUAUGAAUUGUAUAAAAUGUAGCAUGACUUAUCUUCUGGCUUCAAUUUCUUCACAUCAGUAUAUUCAUUAUGCAAGGUAGAGCCUUCAUUAGUGCAAAUUAUUGGUUGUUUCUCACGUUCUAAAAUGAGCAUACUCUUUUGAAUGUAUGACAUUAUCAAAAUGUUAAAUGUUAGUCUUCGGUCAUUCUAAAAGUCAAACCUUGUAUAUUCAACAGCAACUAAAAUGGUCAUUUAAAAAAGAACAAUUACCAUGGAUAUGCUAAAAAAACUUAUUGUAUGCAAAUAAUAUAAUUUGAUGGACAUUUAAAAAAAUCCUUAUGGUUAUAUUUUUUAUUGCAGAUUAUAGUAUAAGAGAAAUUAUAUUGUGAAAUAGGAACUAGGAUCAACGGUAAUAUUUCAUAACCAUUACUUAGCACUAGCAACAAUAUAAUCAGUAUAAUUCCUAAAAUGGUUAGAAUUGAUUAUGUUGGAUUCGGGUGCGAAUAGAUGGAGAUGCUUUGACCAAAUAGUCUUAUCGGGUUUGGUUCUUUUUUCUUUACAUCCGAAAAAACAUUCCCUACAUAUCUUGCCAAUAAAGCUUUCCAUAGUUUAGUAAGUAUUUAAUAUGCCAAUAAGUUUUUUCUACUUUAAUACCAUCUUAAUAUGGCAACCUUGAUUUUCAUACUAGAGAGUAAAUAACUAAUAUAGCAUCAUAUUUGUACUCUAUAAAGUUAGACACUUGCAUAUAAUUGGUGACACUAUAAUUGUAUUCCUAGCAACUAGCAUAUUAAUGUAAGCAUUGUGACGACCAAGAAUGGCUAGGUGUGAUGAUUCGAUGGACCAUAAUGUAUUCUUCUAGUUUAAGAUGUAGUCAUUGAAUUUAGUUGUAAUCGGGUUAAAGCAUAAAAUCUAUAUGUUCAUCAAUAUAAAAUUUAAAUUUGUUUUUAAUUGGAGCCCUUGUAAAAUAGAAGGGCUUAGGUACAUAUGUUUUAUCCCAGAUAGCAUGCCCCCAUAAAGUUGUAAUUCAACUAUUAAGUUGCAUCUAUCAUUUUAAUUUUUGCAGUCAAAGUAAACAAUACAUGGGUGUAGAGGUACUAAAAUUUUAAAAAUAAUACAUCUCUACGGUAGUUGACGAUCAAUAUCAAUGCCAAAAAUAAAGGAUGACAAAAGGAAAAAUAGCAAUCAACGAGGAUAUAAUUUAGUGUUCAUGUUCCUUGUUCCUUAACUCUAAUCACGGUUGAUUGAAAUUCCUAUGUGUGAGUUAUUGAUAAUCUAAUAAAGUUUCCACUAUAUUGUGCUCACAUAAUGGAUGGUUGUGAUUUGUGUGUAUACAUCAAAGAAUAUAUUGUUGGAUUAAAGGUAUGAGCAUACAAUUAAUGUAUUUUUAGAUUAAAACAAGAUAUUAAAUAUAUUUUUAAGAAAUGUGUCAACAUAAAGUUUAAAUAUAUAUUUUUAAGGUAUAUUAUUAAAUACACCUAAGCUAGUUCAUAACUAAACUCACAACUAGCUAGCACUAUGUAUUCUUGGCUUAAAAUUUUGUAAGACCGUGGCUUAAAAUGAAUGCCUUGUGGCUUUAAAAGUUCUUUUUGAUUAGCUACAUCUCACAAAAUUAGGUAGCACUAUGUAUUCAUUUGAUGCAGAGGCAACAUUUCAAUAUGUCAUUUGGUCAUCAAGUAUUUCAAAUACAAAAGUAAAUAAAUUUAGUUUUGUUUUUAAUUAUUUUGAUAAGUUAUCAAUAUAUUUGAUAUACUUGUUAUUUUUUAAGUUUGAUAGAUUUGGAGAAGAAGUACAUAAUCCAGGCCAUUAGUUCUCAACGGUGAACAUCAAAAUUUCCAUGUUCUACAAUAUAUAAUUACAGACCAUGGGUGUCCAGAUUACUAUCCGAUUGAACAAAAUUCUAAAAAAAUAGUUGGAAUUGAUUGUGUUGGAUUCGGAUACGAACAUAUGAGGAUUUUUUGAAUUAAACAAAUAAGAUUAUCAGAUUUGAUUUGUUUUUCUCUUUCCUCCCACAGCUGACUCUCCAGAAAAUCAUACUACUAAACUUUUCUGUCUUAUAGAAAUUGGCAAGCAUUUAAUAUGGCAUUAAAUUUCUACUAAUUAUGUUAGCACCUUAAAAUAGGAAUCUUGAUUUUGAUACUAGGCAAGAGUAAACAAUAUAGGAUCAUAUUUAAAAUAAUAUGUUAGCAUAUUAAAUGUACUACUAUAUUUCAAUGCAUGGCCACUAGCAUAAUAACGUGAUCCUAUUGUGAAAAAGAUAGUUGUGUAUCAUGGUAAAAUGUAUUAGCAUGUGACUUUCUAGUUUCGCAAUAUAUAGUUAUCAAAUUUGAUCACAGGAAACUUUACUCAUAUAUGUAGCCCAUAUGUUACCAACUUAUGAAGAUUGAGGGCUAGUUUGGUUCAAACCCUGGACUAGUUGCCUGCGUUCAAAACCUACAUGUGAACUGCCUAUACACAAUUACAAAAUUGCCUUAUUAAGCACAUGUUUAAUAUGAUUUGGUUGGUGACUUGAUACAUUGCCAGCAUGGCGAAAGGGUAUGUGUCGUUUGGUUGAGUUUGCCUAUAUUGGUUGAUGUUGAGAAGUAACUGUGAGUAUUAUUGGAGCCAGGCAACUCCUAGGAGAUCCCAGGCGAUCAACUUUGAAGGACUGGCACCAAGCAACACAUCCAAGCAGCUACAAUCAAGCAAUAAUCUUGGGAUUUGAACCAAAUAUAUCUUAGGAAGAUCUCAGCAAAGAUACCUACCAGGCAGCCAAACAUGCCCUAAAUCUUAAUUUAAUUUGCAUCGAGUCCUCAAAAAAGUUGAUUGGGUUUGAUAAUUGUGUUGUAUCCUACAGUCCUUUCAACAUCCAAACAAACUUCUAAAUUGGAUCCAUCGUUUCUAUUUACGUGGUGAAUAAUUAACUAGACACUAAUAUAAAAUAGUCUCUAGAUUAAUUUUUUUUCUCAUUUGAGGUAGUUGGUGGUUAAGACGAUGAUUGCCCAAAAUAACUUUUGGUUGCUGUGUUUUUUACUAGAGAGGUGUUAUAAAGCAAACUGAGUAAGGAUUGUUUCUCCUUCCAUCUAUUUUGAUCUAGCGCUCCUAUAUAUAUGUGAACCUCAUAUGACUAUUAAUUGAACUCUCAAGUCUCAAUAAGUAAGUAAGUGACAAGUGAACAAAAUUACCUGUAGGACGAAGUGAGAAAUUAAACCACAUUCUUUAUAUAUAAAUCAAAGAAGAUAUCAUUUGAUUAAGUGUAGUGCGAAUAUGUUAUUGCACGACAAAAUUGAAACAUGUUUGACAUUAAAUCUAUUAAUAAGAAAUAUAUGAGCACAAAGUUCAUUACAUGAUGUAUGCUUUUACACUGCCACACGUUCGGGCAUUAGCACCGGUCGGGAAGGGCCUGUUGCCCCGAUUCCCGAGCCGGUGCUGCCCUUCCGGGACUAAAGGCCCACCCUUUAGUCCCGGUUCCGUUAACCGGGGCUAAAGCCCCCCCUUUAACACCGGUUGGUAACACCAACCGGUGUUAAAGGGUCCUGCCAGGGCUGCCACGUUGCAGGACCCUUUAACACCGGUUGGUAUUACCAACCGGUGUUAAAGGGUUUCUUUUUCUUUUUUUUUUGGUUCACUUCUUCGGUUCUGUUUAUUGUUUAUAUAUAAUAUAUAAUAAUAGGUUUUUCAAUACAUGUUUUGCUGAUACAAUAAUAUAUUUAUAUUACACGCAUAUUAAGCAUACAUAAAUGAAAAUUAUAGGCUAAGCUUAAUAGUUAAGCUUUGCCUAUAAUAAAAUGAAUAGACCACAUCAAAAAUUAAAUAUAUAUGUAAAAAGCUUUAUAUAUAUAUAGUUUUAUAUGUACAAAAUUCGUAACACAUAUAUACAUAGAGUUUGUUCUCCCAAUGUCUACAAACGAUACAAAUGAUCAUCGUUGUUUGGUAUAAGAGUUUCGUUGCCGUUGAAGUGAAACUCGCCGUUUGGAUUGAUCACUUGGUCGCGGAGAAAUCCUGCUAUCGUCUCUUGGAUAGCUUUGAUUCGGUCUUGUUGUAGGACCUUUUCCCUCAGCCAUUCCGUCUUUAAUUUGAAAUAAAUAAAAAAGGUAUUAGUUAUCUAAGUUAUUCAAUAUAAUUCAGGAGAUAAUGAAAAGAGACAUGUAACGUACUCUGAGCGUCUCUGUGGGUGUUUGAUUGACUUGUGCCAUCAUGAAUUUGCACACGUAAUAUGCACAUAGAUUGUUUCCCCAUUCUUGUCUUAAACACCACUGUACGAUGUAUAUAUAUAUAAAAAUAUUCAUGACCACGACAAUAAGAAGGCUAAAAGUUAGCGAAAGUUUGUUAGCUAGUAGAACUUACUUGUGGAUGUAUUAUGUUAAGCGGCGCUUUACAUCCACUGAGAUGUUCACGGUCAAUGAAUCUUUCCCAAACCCUAUACACAGCCAUUGUGGAUCGUGAACUAAUAAUUACAGAGUCAUAUUAUGAUAUUUUUGUAGCUGAGAUCGACAUUACGUACCUUUGAAUAACGUUUACCAUUUGUUGAUAAUUUUCUUGUGGUUUUCUCAUUGAGUCAAAGAUUAUCAAUCGGUUCUUGGGAAUUUCAAUGACCAAGAGUAUCCAGUGAAAGCUGUUUACACACACAUAUAUAGGGUCAGUCCUAUAAUGUAAAAUAAAAUAUGCAUGCACUUAAUAACUAUAUAACUCACUCGAAGUUGAAGGGGAAGAGUAUUUUUUGUUUUUCUUUUUGGUUUACAAAGAACCUCAUAAGAUUGGUGCAGAUUUCUGUCUCAUAAUCUGCUGUCCACACUGCCUGCGGAGCCUUAAAAACAAUAUAAGGGUCAACGAACCCAAUACUAUUGUCAUUUCUCAUUCUGAGUUCUCUCAUUUGGUGCCUGCAUAUAUACAUACAAAUCCUAAGUGUGUAAGGAUUAUAUACAUGUAAUUAAAGAAGUUGGCUCACUGCCUCACCACCUUCAGCCUCAACCACCUGUGCAAAAGAUUUCUUAAUGUGUUUAAUGUAUUCUUCCUCCCAGUACCAACCUGUACAUCCGCCGGUACCGUCCCACUGAAAUUAAAAGAGAGAAUCAAAAGUUUAAUUAAUAUCAUUUAAAAAAAUAUGCACAUAUAUAAGCAAAUGUCUGGAAAUAACUCACAUUACGAUCUGGACACUUGUAGAAUAUACGACCCUUGUUUACUCCCUCUUUCGACACUUUGUACUCCAUCAAAAUCUUCUGCCCACACUUGCCACAAGUAAUGAGAGGGAGUUCCGGACGGUAUCGCUUUUGAACCCGUUGAGAGACUGAAGACCCGGUCACGGUUGCCAUCUACUAUCCAUACUCAAUUUUAAAACAAUUAUAAAUUCCACAUUUACUAGUAAACAUGUAUGAUACAAUGGACAUUAUAUGUAGUAAUAAAAAUAAAUCAAGUGAUAUUAACAAACCAAUUAAUUUGAACUAUCCUACUUUCUAUGAUCAUAAAAAUAUACUAUAAUUCAUUCUUGCAAAAUACAUUAAAACUAGGUCAACCAUGAAAUAUGAUAUAUAUAUAUGGAUACUAAUUCAUGUGAAUGAUUCAAAAUAACAAAGUGGAUUUGAGCUAAAAAAUGAUGGGAACAUCACAAGCCAAAAACAACAUGAAAAAAACAAGAAAGGCUGAAGUUAGUCACCUCUAAGCGCGAAGAGACGAUGACGGAGUCGAAGAAGAUCAACGAUGGGCGUUGGAGAUGAAGAACAAAUGAAGAACAAGCAAGAAGAAGCUCCAAGAACAACAAUGGUGCUCUCGGUUUCAAAUGGGCAGAGGGGAGGAGGGAACCGGCCUAUAAACUGGACCUUUAGCACCGGUUCAGGGAAAAAACCGGUGCUAAAGGGUUACCUUUUAGCACCGGUUUGUAACACAAACCGGUGCUAAAGUGUUUGCCUCGGCCCGUGGCUCUGGCCGGUGCUAAAGGGACCCCUUUAGCACCGGUUUGUAACACGAACCGGUGCUAAAGGGUCUCUGCCCCGACAGCACAUGUCAGUAGCCGUUGGGCAGGACCCUUUAGCACCGGUUCGUGACACAAACCGGUGCUAAAGGGAUCUUUAACCCCGGGCCGCAAAAAGGCCGAGGUUUUUGGCCAUUUUAGGCAUCGACCAAUGCCUCAUUCUGUAGUAGUGUUAGUCAUGCAAGAGUAGUGAAAUAAAUAGUCCGAUCAAUUAUGUAUAGAUGAUCCUAUAUUGCAAACAAAUAAUGGUUAUGUCAUAAAAUUAAAGUUUUUUUAUUAACAACAUCUUACAAACUUAUGGCUUUUAUAAUUGAUUGUAGGUAAUGUUCAUGCUUGGAACCUUCCUGGCCAAAACGGUACCAGGUCUUACGCAAUGGUUGACGAAGGCGUUUCUUCUGAAACUGAAAAAAAAAUGUCUAGUAAAUUGAUUCCUUUGUAUGUAUUUGCGUAUAUAGGUUUCACAAAAUAUAGAAAUGUAAAAAGUCUCACUAUAAGGCAUCGAGAAAUGUGAAAGAAAAAUACCAAAUUCAAUUUGUCCCGCUGUUCAUUGUUGAGAAAACCAUGCAUGGACGCACAAAGACAAAAGUGUCUAUAUUAAUUAUACACAAGCAAAUGAGAUCCCACACACACAAAAAGUGACGUGCAGAUUCUUCAAAUGGGUUCCAGGCCGCCGUCGGCCUCGCGCUAUUAUGAAGAACUGAAGAAGCAGCCUACUACGUACUGUCUCAACUCGGAUCGCAGGACAACGACGAACGGUGCGUAUGAGCACGCGCCGUAUCGACACGAGCAUUCACCCAUGAGCAGUGAGGCUGCAGUGCGUGCAUCCAUCCAUCAACCUCGGCUGCUCCAAGCAACAGAGCAAUAGCAUGUAGGAGUAUAUGUAUGUACUUCCUCCGUCCACGAAAGAAUCAAUUCCUAGGAUCCGUGCCAGUUAAAUUUUUUAAAGUUUGACUAACUUUAUAGAAAAGAGUAACAACAUCUAUAAUAUAAAAUGCACAUUAUAUGAAAAUAUAUUUUAUGAUGAAUCUAAUAAUACUAAUUUGAUACUAUAAAUUUUAGCAUUUUUUCUAGAAAUUUAGUCAAAGUUAAAAAGGAUUGACUUAGGACAACUUUAGAAAUUGACUCUUUCGUGGACAAAGACACAACGAGCCAGGUAGAACACUGCAACGAGACAACGACGACGACGAGCUAGGGGGUUCGGAUUUCCCUCUCGGUCGACUGGGCUGCACAGGGCACAGGGCACGCCCCCCGGCCGGCCGGGUGCCCCGGUUGCAGUUGCAGUUGCAGGCUCCCAGCCAGAGACCGGACACGGUGGAAGUCCAGCACACGACACGCCGCCGGGCCGGCGGCACCGAUUGGGCGUUGGCGUUUCGGGGCAGCAGCAGCAGCAGAUCGAUUUCGACGGGGAUGGAGGCGGUGGAAUGGAAGGCGGGGUGGAGUCGAAAUCGUUGCCGCUUCCGGGUCGGUCGAGCUGUGGCUGCCCAUCCCUGUACUUGCGGCACCCAGCUGUGCUCGGUUCGGCAAAUCCGCGCGGCCGCUGGAGAAAUGCCGCUUGUCUCCACACUGCCGAAGUGGACGCGCGCUGGCCCUUUUCCUUGCAAAAAAGCCGUCGCGGCGUUCGCUGCCGCCGGCAGCGGUAAAAGACGCCUUUGGCUUGUAGCCCAGGAUGAUCCGAUAGCACUAGCAGUAGCAGCUGCAGCCGGCUCUGGCGCCUCGCAAUCGCAAGUGGAUACGGUCGCGAAAGCGGGGCAAGAAAAAGGCUCGAUCUAUCGGACUGGACUCUGGAUGCUACGCAUCCUUCCGUGAUAGCUGACAGUUCGGUCGUUGCAUUUUUGGCCUAAAAAUUUUGCAAAAUUUUUCAGAUUUUCCGUCACUCGAAUCUUUAGACGUAUGCAUGAAGUAUUAAAUAUAAAUAAAAAUAAAAACUAAUUGCACAGUUUGGUCGGAAUUGACGAGACGAAUCUUUUGAGCCUAGUUGGUCUAUAAUUGGACAAUAUUUGUCAAAUACAAACGAAAGUGUUACUAUUCAUAUUUUGCAAAAAUUUUUGGAACUAAACAAGGCCUUAGUUUCCCAAAAAUUUUGCAAAAUUUUUUAGAUUCCCCGUCACAUCGAAUCUUUAGACGUAUGCAUGGAGUAUUAAAUAUAAAUAAAAAUAAAAACUAAUUGUACAGUUUGAUCGGAAUUGACGAGACGAAUCUACAAACAAAAAUGCUACUAUUCCUAUUUUAUAAAUUUUUUUAAAGUACACAAGGCCAAUUUGUUUCACGUUUUCAAAAUUUUAUAUUAAAAAAAAACAACGUUUCCCGUUCAGUUUUUUUAGGGAGAACACAUAUACAAAACAAUCAUAUGCAAAGUCAACAGGAAUCCAUUUCGUCACUGGCUCGGUGACAGUACUAGCAACGAUUGGAGUACGGGACCUUGGACCAGCUCACAAGUCACAGCGCAUCCAUCUCCGCCUGACGAGUGACGAGGGAGAAGGGCUCACCGCUCACGCACACGUGGCGCUGGCCAUCCGGGCCCAGUGCCACGGAGGCGCCAGGCCUGGCCGCUGGCCCCCGGGGCGGGACUACUACACCACUAGCAGACUAGCAGGCCAACCCGCAAGCGACUGGGCCCCGCGGCUCAUUAGAUUUAGUGGGGCCCGAGGUGGCGGGAAGGGGGUUGAUUUCAAUCGGGCCCGCGCCCUCCCUGGCGGCCGUACCCUCUCCGCGUUAACGUCCGUCCUCAGUCCUCCUUUGCUGUGCUGCGCUGUGCGCCCCCGCCCCGGUCCCCCGCCCCGGCCCCGCCCUGUAUUGUAGCUGCGGUGGUGGGCCUCCCCGCCGGGAUCGGAAAAGCCUCGCACGCAGCGCAGCAUCUCAUCCGCGCGCGCGUGUGCGUACCUGUUGCCUGUGGUCUGCUCGGAUGAGAACGCGGGCGGGCCGGGCCUGUCACCUGUGGGCUGCGCUCGGGACACCCGACGAGGCCGAGAGUGCAUUUCACGAACGAGCGCCCACCAACACUAGAGGCCCGGCGUCGAUUCUCAGCCCAUCAUCAAUCUUGGAAAAAUAUCUAGCAGCAAGGUACUAAAUAGCAUUUGUAGCAACCGCUAUAGCGGCCUCAAUAGUGGUAGAGGUGCCUUACUGCUACGCCCGUAGUUGCUUGGAUAUAGCGGGUUGGAACUUAGUGCUCAUUAUUUAGGUAAUGUAUCGUAUGUAACCUAGCUUCGUGUGCAAUCUAUACAACCAGCAAUUAAGGCCACAGGAUCACAACAAACCACUAUAGUGACUAUUAUUGACGUAGCAGUCCGCCAUAGCAGCCCAAGUCUAGAGCAUAACUAGUUAAUUCUUAAUUAAAAUAUAUUUGAUCCAAGAAUCAACUCAUCGAAUAAAAUUAUAUAUAUAUAUAUAUAUAUAUACUAUUUAAUUUACAUAUUUAUUAGUCUAUUGUUCAUUUCUAUUUAGUUGAUUUAUUAAUAUAUAUAUAUAUAUAAGAAAAUCAUUAUUCUUAGCAUCUGCUAAUAUGCUAUAGUGCCCGCUAUCUGCAAUCCGCUAUGUACACAUCAAUCCGCUAUAGACCUGCUAACCGUUAUUUUCUUAUCUUGCUGGUAGGUAUCUCUAUCUAAGAUCUUCUUGGGAUAUGUUUAUUAAUUCAAAUCCUAUUGCUUCAUUGUAGCUACCCGGAUGUGUUGCCUGGUGCCAAUCCUUCAAAAUCGAUCACCCUAGGAGUUGCCUGGCUCCAACUAAUGCUCAUAAUUACUUGGUAAAGUCAACCCGAUGGUGUGUGCUUCUUUGGCCAUUCAGGCAAUGUAUUAUUCCACCAACCAAAUGGUAUGAUGGAUUUGACAUGUGCCUGGUUAGGUACUUUUGUAAUCGCGUAUCUGCCUAAGAUCUUCCUGGGAUAUGUUUGGUUCAAACCCUGAGAUUAUUGCUUGACUGUAGCUGCCUAGAUGUAUUGCUUGGUGUCAGUCCUUCAAAAAUUGAUCGUCUAACAUCUCUUGGGAGUUGACUGGCUCCAAUUAAUGCUCAUUGUGACUUUCUCAAUAUCAAUCAACACAGGCAAACUCAAUCAAAUAGCGCGUGCCCCUUUGGCCAUUCAGCCAAUGUAUCAUUCCACCAACCAAAUGAUACUACGGAUUUGACAUAUGUCUUGUUAGGCAUACACUGAUUUUUUGCGUGCAUCAUCAAAGUAAAUGAGCCGAUGGGCCUGUGAGAUAGUUCGCUCAUUGCAACAAAAUCUACGAAUCAAGAUCCGUAUUAACGAUCCUUUCGAUGUGUACUGAAAAACAACAAUUCGUGGGUCCUGCGUGUCAUACAUUAGGAUUCUCGCUUGGCCACCAUCUAAACAUAUCUAACAUUGGAGUAAGAAUUUUUUCAGAUGGCUCCGUGCUUCACCUUUUCACUGAUCCCCUCACCUGGCCCCCAAAUCGGAUCCACCUCGACAAGCCCGCAAGCGGGCUUCUCCUUCUGCCACGGCCCAAAAAGUAGCCGUUGUCUUUCCCCAAAUCCGCCCACCUCUCCUCCCAGGCAGAUGUGCCCGUGCCCCCCAUUUGGUCAUUUCCUCUCCCAUAAUUAACGCGGCCGUUACGCUCUCGCCUCGCUCUCUGUCCCCCCCACCAUUUCAAACUCGAACCACAUCGCACCGCGCCGCGAGUCCGAAAAGAGAUCCCCGCGCCCCGCCUCCAGCAUCAAUCGACAGCAAGGGGCAACGCAAGGCGCCGGGACGUUCUCGGAACCGGAGGCGAGGCGGGGAGGGGAUCGCAUCGGAUCGGAUGGUGGAGGCUGGCGCGAGCUUCAUGGUAACCGGACUCGAUCCCUCGCCCUUUCCUCUCUUCGGCCGGCCGUCCACCCCCGAGUGCGCGAUCGAUAGGGUCGCCGUUGCCCGCUGGUGUUUGCUGACCAUGGGUGGGGUUUGUUUGCGGGCGCAGGACAAGGUCGUGGCGGUGGCGGACGACGUCGUCGUCGUCGACGGGGCGAGCGUGGGCGUCGGGGACGCACGGAAGGAGGGGAAGCAGGAUGAGGAGGAGAUGGCGCCCGUGGAGCCCCUGCCGGAGCCUCCCGACGACGGCGGGCCCGUCGCGUGGCCCAUGCCGGACUUCUGCCCUCUCACGGUGAGUGAUUCAUUUUCAAUCCUCCAUCCACCUGGAUUCGAUUCGAAUCCCUCCCACACCGCAACUGAAGACGAAACGCUGUUUCUCUUGUCUGAUCGUCAGAUCGAUGGGGUGCUGAAGGAGUCGUUCCUGGAGACUCUGCGGAAGGACGCAGCGGAGAUGGAGCGGCCUGCGCGGGAGGAGUCCGAGGCGGAGGAAGCGCUCAGCCCGGACUCGCGGCCGUCGAGCAGCAAGCGCCACCGCGCCGGCACCGCCUCGCCGUCGUCCAGGAGCAGCCCCUACCGCAACAUCCUGCAGGUGUUCCAGCAGUGCAGGCAGGACGCCGCCGAGGAGACUCCCACCAAGAAUUACUGAAAGCCGACGAGCACAAGCGCAACAGAGCAGCAUCAGGCCGCGCCGCGAUGUCACGGCUUUUCGCCGCCUGCUUGCUCGAGAACUAACGCUUGCCAUUUUGUCCAUUCGUUUAGUUGCCGUUUGCACAUUGUUCUUGAUGUGGCUGAAAAUGGGUAGUAGGGAGUUUUUUAUUCUUGUGUAAAGAUCGGAUAUAGAAGUUACAGGACCUCAGUAAAGAACGCCAUGAGAAAUGCAGUUUGGUAAUUCUCUUCCCAUAUGUUACAACUUACAAGUCGAUUUGUGGCACGCGUCGUUUCAUAAAUUUUCCCAUAUGUUACAACUUACAAGUCGAUUUGUGGCAUGCGUCGUUUCAAAAAUUCGGUAUUUGGCAUGACACAAGACAAUGAGGCAUGUCGGCAUGUGCAAUGUGUAAAUUGUAAAACCAUCACUAAUCAAGACACCUACCUAAGUGAAAGUCCUCUCAACCAAAAGUCCAAAACAACAGCUGGAGAAAACGAGCAGAGUUUGGCAAACGCCUGACAAGUAGUGGAAAAUGAUGGCAGAAAUAAGCAACAAAAAGCUUUAUUGCAAACGAGGGCAUUGUUACAAUUAUGUUCUAUGAUGGACACGUUACAGAAUAUAUAUAUCCAUUUCAAGUCGCCAGUUUGGCCAAAAUCACCAUAUCUAAUAUCUUAACUUCGUAUGUGUCGUCAAGCCUCACUAUUCCGUCAGAACCAUCUAUACCUAUGAGUUUUCCUGUGUAUCCACGGAAAUUACCAUUCAAUAUCUUGAUCUUGUCACUCUUCUUUGGCCUGAUGACCUCGACCUCGUUUGGAAGGACUGUCACCAUGUCACCGUUGCCCGACGACCCAAGUGCAACUCGGCAAGAUCCAUCCUGUAAGUUAAAGGGGAUAUAAGCAAUGGGAAGAGACAAAAAAAACAGAAUUUUGUAUUCCACCAUACAGCGUGCAACACAUACCCCGAGUACUUCCCUAACCACACCAGGACCAUCAUCACCUCCCCUCAAUACAUUGACCAUAACAUCCGGCAACAACCAUGUACCAUCACCCUCACCACCUGCAGGCAUUUCAGCACAC